UCUAUUUCCCGGUCGAGAUGUACAUUAAGCAGAAGCAAAUACCCAAGUGGAGCACCAAGUGGGUGUGCCUUCAGAUUCUGAGCAUGGCUUGCCUAAUCAUCACCAUUGCUGCUGCUGCUGGCUCUGUCGCCGGUGUUGUUCUCGACCUCAAGUCCUACAAGCCCUUCAACUAGUCAAAGAUUAUUUGGGCGCUCAUGUUCAUAACAAGGUUAAUCAUGGUGGUGGAAUUUGCUUUGUGAGAAAUUCUAGGCUUAGGUUUCAUUUUCACUGUGUAAUGUGUUUAGGGAACGGGAAGGGUCAUGCUAGUCUCUGCAUAUCGUGGUCCUCAUGAUAAGAAUGUACCUCUUCUAUUAUUUGUCAAAGGAAAUGGAAAGCUUCAAGAAAAAGGAAGUUCAAGGUCUUCUCUUUGCUCAUGUAGUUUGAUUUUGGGGGCUAUACACAAGAAAGUUUGCAAAAUAAAAAUCCUUCUUAUUGUCUUUUUCGAUCCGCCCAUCUAUGACAAUUUGUAGAAACUUCCUCUUUCUCAACUCUGCAUCUUUUAGAGAGCAGCCACUCUUAGGACAGAUAGAGAAGGGGGAAAAAAAGGAAGCAACAGAUAAACAUCGAGGCCUAAAAAAUGUCUUGGUCUCAAGACUCUUGCGGCUAAAAAAUGUCUUGGUCUCAAGACUCUUGCGGCUAGAGCUACGGCCAAAGUCAAUCCGGGACUUUCUACAACGAGAAGUAUAUGGUCACUGUUGAAUGAAAACAAUAAGGGGUGAACCACACGCGCACAAUCAUGGCAAGGUUCAAACGGAACUUUAAUCUUGUCCUUACCACGAAAAUGUAGAAAGCCUCUCGAAAAAAGAAAAAAAAAAAGGCAAAAAUUUUAUUUAUUUUCUCAUGAACCCGACAGUCCGCAAAUUCGAUAGGGCAUGAACUUGGCCUAGUCAGACCACAGAAGCAAAAGAAAUGUGUUUUUUGUCAUUUGUCUCCAAUUUCCACCCUUAGUUUCCAAACUUGCAUAAGGGAAAGACUAGCAAUGUGCAAGGGAAUCUGUGAUUAUGCCACAAUAGUUUUGUCGCUUCCAGUAAUGCAUGAAAUUCCAUCUGCUUUGGCAAAAAUUCAAAACCAACAUAACAAGAGUUUGAAAAAACAUCAAAAUCACUAGGUGAGACAUUUUUUGAUGGUCUUAUCAGCUACUCCAACCAUCUUUCUUGAUUUAAAAAAAUAAAAAUGAAAUAAAUGGCUGUUUCAAAUUCUUGCUGAUUGAGAGCUACUUUAGCAGUAGCAGAGUAUCUGCUUUUACACUUGCAGACAUGUGUAUAACACAGCUGUUCAGUGUCAAAUCUUCAUGAGAGCCAUCGAAUGUUGCCCACUAAUGUGAAACCACAGAUCAUGCCCUCCACAAAGAUCUAGGAUUACAACCUUUUCCAUAGCAUUUUGAUGUGACCCAAGACAGUCGAAAAGGGAUGGCUCAUGUUACAAGGUCGACUGAACCGACGGUGGCCAAACCCACAGAGUACAAUUUCCUUGUGGUGGUGUGCCUUUUUUUCGGUGCUGGUAAUCAUUGUCAGCUUUGAGAUUCCCUUUUGUGAGUGUGGAGUACACAAUUAAGCAAAAGUCAAACCAGAAGAUGGACAGAGAAGUAUGUAGCGAGGAGAGCACGGGCGCGAGAGCUUCUCUAAUUUCUUUUUUUCCUCCUCUUCAAUGAGAGUUUCUAAUGUGGAGUUGUGAAGAAUGCCAGGAAGUAGGUCACGUAAAAUCAACGCACGCCGAAGAUUUUCUAGCACACCAUUUCAAUGAGAAGUCGAGUGUGUUUUACGCCUUGUUAUUUCAAUUGGAAUAAUGAUUAAAGCGAGCCUAAUGAGUUUUGAAAUUAGGAAUCAUUGUGAAGCAUCGAGUCUAAUGGAAAUCAAAAAACAAGAAGAAGAAGAAGUUGACAAUUGAUAGCUUCCAAACUUUUAACUAAUAAGUCAUCGAAUGACUCUAAGUCACCAUGUCACUUAUUGUUAGUAUUUUUACUUUACCGUAUUAAUUGCAUAUGCAUUCAUUGUGUAUCAUCGGUUCAAUGAUACUUAAAAAAAUAAUGCAAAAAAGCCAAGUUAUAGUGUUCUUUUAUUCUAAUAGCUAUUUUUUAUUGAGUCAACUAUAAAUUGUUGAAAAUUUUGGGAGACUGUAAUUUAGAAUGGAUUUAUAGUUCAAGCACUUUAACAUUGGUUGUCAGUAAUAGUCAUCCCCAUAUAGUUCAUGUAAAACAUAAUUUGGAGCUCAUAUUUUUUAAAUUUGUCGCCUUAAAUUGGUAUAUUAAAUGAUGUAUAUCUAGGAAUCAACAUCAGUUAUCCUCAAUGUUUGUCCUCAUUGUACGUGAUUUCAAUCCUUAGUCAAACUUUGCUCUACAUUUGGAUUUUAAUAGUUCCGUGUUCAUAAUGGAUUCGUAGGUUAUUUUCAAACUCGCUUUGUGAAUGAUCGUGCAUAUAUGUCACUCAUAGUUCUCAUAAGUGCAAGAAUCGUGAUUUAUAGUAUGACGUAAAUUGAUGUUGAGACUAAAAUUGCACCAAAAACGGAACUGCAAGAAGUAAUGUUUUAGCAUUCCCUCAUGAAGACUCUCAAAACACAGUCAAGAUUUAAAAAUUAAGAGUGCAACUUUCACAGCAUAUUUUAACCGCUAACAGAAAAGAAAUAAGAUUCUUCUUUUUAAAAGAGCACAUGGUUUAAUAUUCUUUUAUGACCAAGUGAGUACAAAGAACCCAUUCUGUUGGCACGUUCUGAGGUAGAAAGCCAAAAGAUGACAGUGCGGGGUUAGGUGGCGGCUGCGGCGGCCGCCGGAGACUUUCGGCUGUCGGCGGCUAGUGGUGUGUGGAAUCUCUGAGGAAAUUCAUCGGGAAGUUAUUGCUUAAGAUAUGAAUACUUUUUGGAUUCUUUGUAUCUUUUGGUGAAUCCUUUUUUUGACCGACAGAAAACGCCGAGGUAGAAUCUGGUAGUUGUGAGGCUUGCGACAUGUACUCGAAAUCCCACUGAACCUAGGGGAACGAAUUAGGACAAGUUACUUGUGGGCUUAAAAAACCAAUAACAAGGAGAAAUGACAAAAACAAAGUUGGGUUUGUCUUCUUUGUGUAAUUAUUUACUUUAUGUGUGAAACUGGAGGGUCCGAAGAAGAAUCUCCAACGAUCAAGGAUGCACCCAGAUUCUUUCACCUAAUCGGCACUAGCAAUCAAGGUCAUGACGACUUCAGCUCUAAUGCAACACUAGGCAAAAUUGAUCACGACACUUGGGGCCAAUUUGAUCGAUCACCACCAUGACAUUGGUGUAAUCUAAAGAUAGAAUAGUUUAAUAUUGAAUUUCUUUGGUGCCGAUGAAAGGUGCUUAACUUUUUGCUUUUUCAAAGGACUAGUUGACCUUGUCACAAACCCAAAAGAAAAUUUUAACCCAAAAGUUAUGAUGGAAUUCGAAUAGUUAACCUUGGCACCAUCGGCAUUGGUGUGGAAAUUUUUUAAAUACAUGUUUAAUUUUUUUUUCUAAUCCUAGGUUUAGAGAAACAAGGAAAAAUAAAAAUAAAAAUGGAAAAAAUAGUAAAAAUAAUAAAAAUGCAUUUAAAAUUUAUCUACAUCAAUGGUGACGAUGUUACGUAGAAUGACCAAUAUUCAUAUCCAUAAUUUUAGACUAAAAUCGGUCAAAUUGAUUUUAUUGAAGAAAUAUGAAAAAUUUAGCAUUUAAUUGAUAAAAUUAAAAAAUUUAUAAUUAAAUUAAUAAAAUUAUAAUAGAUUUAAGACUUAUUAGAUAUUUUUCUCUUCUAGAUGAGCACCAAAAUAACCGCAGUCUAUGUAUGCAAAUACUAACAAAUAUGAGAUUAAUAGAUUGAUUGAUUGAUUGGAGUAUUUCCUAUUCCCUAUAGCUUCCUGCCAAUCCUCUGCGCUGCAAAGGCUUUGAUGCUCUUAUACUUGAUCAAAUCGUCUUGAGUACUCACGACGGAUAUCGUCCUCGAACCAUGCCAUCUUCCACGGUCUCACGACAUCCACUUCGUCUUCUGGUACAGCUCUCUACAUAGCUUCCAAAUUGCAACUUGCUGAGAAAUUUUCCCUCGCAAGCCCUAUCCUCCAUUGCCAAUUUCCUUAGCUCCAAUCUCUGUGGGUUUUAAAAACCCAAAGUCUCGCUCGAGCUUCUUAGCCAUUUUCUCAAUCCCAAGCCCAAGCCCCGGGAUUCUUGGGCCUCCAUCGAGGAAGAAUCUUUGAGGACCUUUGGGAUUGGUCCUCCACAGGUGAAUAGCCCGCAGAGAAGGUAAUGGUUGCCAACACCAUAGCUGUAGCAGCCGAUAAGGGCUAUUUUGUUUGUUUGAACCAGGAAUUAGGUUCAUUAUUGCGGUACUAUAAAGAAAUAUGAGACAUAGAUGAAAAUGAUGAUGACACAAACGGUCAUUGAAUUUUGUUCUAAUGUGUAAUAAAACUUUCGAACUUUCAAUUUGUUUAAUGUGGUUCAUGAACUUUAGUCAAAUAUACAAUAUAGUCCAUGAACUUUUAAUUUAGUCAAUGUGAUCAUUGGACUUUUUGUAUAUAUUCAACUUAAUUCUCGAACUAUAUAAAAAUGUUCAAUGUUGUCAUUCCCUUUCAUCAAUUGAAGUUUAGGGAUGACAUCAAAUUUUUUUUAUAUAAUUCGAGAAGUAAGUUGAGUAUGUAUCAAAAGUUUAGGGAUCAUAUUAAAUAAAUUAAAAUUUUGGGGAUUACAUUGUACAUUGAGCUACAAUUAAUAAAUUAAAAGUCGAGGGAUCACAUUGCACAUUUAAAUAAAGUUCAUGGAUCAUUUAUGUCAUUUUUUCUAGAUGAAAAUAUGACCGGCACACAAGAUUUUAUGUUGUUUUCCUGACUUGAAUGUUGAUUCGAGUCAACCCUUGUCAAGUUGCUCUAUUGGGUCGGGUGGGUUCCAUGCGGGGAUGCGCAUAUGAUGAGCUCGGUCAAUAGAAUAACGACUUGAUUUUAAGCAAAGCCCUUUCCGAACUACUCUUCAGAAAUUCUGAGUGGCGCAAGCUUCGAUCUGUGAGUGGGCUGUCAGAUUGGGCCUCUCGUUGUUAGAGAAAAUUUGGCCUCUUGUUGUGAGAAUAUAUUGUUAGGGAUUUAAUUAGACGGGAACAUUGUUUUAUAUUUCGUUAUUUUCUAAAAUAAAGAAUUUUCUUAUUAAAUUAAGAUAGUAAAUUUCCUUGUUAAAUUAGAUUACUACUUUUUCUAUGCUCAUUAUUCGAGUGUAAGUACCCGUUGAUCAUAAUACAUUAUGAAGCCAAGCUAGAAAGUAAAGAUGUGUCCUUCGAGUAUUUUCUCUCUCCCUCUCUCUUAAAAAUUUUAAAAUAUUUCUAUGGACUUCUGAAUUUAGAAGGUGAGACUCGCUACCUAACUGAUUGAUAUAGUGCCUGUCACACUGAGAAGAAAUUCAUCGGUUAGUCAUAUGAAAAUUAUCGAAACUACAAGACUUAAAAAAUAAGAUCACCAUCGCUGGAUCAAUGUAGAUAGAUGAAGACCGCCCGAAAGGAAGCUGUCAUAGGCAUUUAAUGGAACAAUGGUGGGGUGUUAUGCCGAAGUAAAGCCUCACAUUAGCUACAUAUAUAUCGCUAAGCACGUCCAUAAGGUCUUAGACUCUCACCCUGAUGCCUCAACUUUUAGUGGCGUUAUCUCGUUGAACUAAUGGCAAUCAGAGUGCUGGAGUUUAUCCUAAUAUCUGAAGAGGUUGAAGCUGAUGAAUAUCCAUGCUAAGCCUCCAAUCAGUCUUUCCCUCUCACAAUCCGGUUCGGCUCAUUCUUGCGCCCCCACAUGAUGCAUCGGAUCCAUGCCGGUAGAAAGUUCGCAAGACAAUUAUAGCUUCACCCGGAGCAGCAUAACAAUAUGGAUAUCGGUGUCAGAAUUAAAGGCUAUACUCUGAAUAUAGAACUCCAUUAAAUGAUACCUGUCGGUUCCUCAAGCCACAUGCUUGUUCGUGAUUCAGGCAUUUCAGAUGAUUCUCCCGCAGCUUCUUUUCCCCGUAGAAUGGUAAACUCGACUAGUACGUGACCACACAUCUGAAGAUAGAUAGUCAAGAAAAUGAACGGCCGUUGAACUGCACCUUUUAUUCAAAAUCAGCGCCCUUUCUACUUUAUCAAUCAACUUCCCUUUCUAUGAGGCCGUGAAGUGUCGGAUACCGUGGAAAGAUUUGAAGACAAAUAGCUGUAUACAGGUCAGAGAACCUGUGAAUUAAAAGAAAGGCUGGUCAAAAUGUGGAUUACAUGUCACCAAUCAUGAGAAUCCUUCCGGUAAGGGGUCGAAGAGGUAUCAUGCAUGGCAGAUGUCAACGGUUGCCCUUCAUUAUCUAGCAAAACAAAGGAGAGAAAUCCUCCCUGAUCGCUAGCAUCAUGCUUUGCAUUGGGUGCUCUUCGCCGAACACAUUCAUAUGCCAGAGACUCCUAUGUCUCCCUCAUGUCCUUUAUAAAGUUGAUGGGCUUAAAUAUGCAGGGCGUUAGAGAGAGAGAGAGAGAGAGAGAGAUUGCCAGAGUCCUCUUUACCCUUUAGAAUCUCAUUGACAAUGGAUUUUGCUAGAAAUGGCUAUAAAAACAAAUUCACUCUGUUCUUUUUCCCAAAUUACCCAAAAGAAGAAGAAGAAGAAGAAGAAGAAGAAGAAGAAGAAGAAGAAGAAGAAGAAGAAGAAGAGAAACGUAACCAAUAAUUACUGUUGAAAUAGUUAUCAUAAAAAAGUUUUCUCUUGUUUAGGAGAACAUGUGACUUUUAGUUAAGAGAAGAGGUGAUUCUUGAUGAUGAAAAGAAGUGACUCUUUGUCCUAAAAGGAAGUUAUUAGUAGUUAUGAAUAAGUUAUUCUUGACAUAAAGAGUGGUAAUGAUUGAGGAUAAAGUAUCUGUUCUCAAGAGAAGUGAUAAUUGGUUUUCUUUGAAUAGAUGUCAAUUCACAUAUUAUUUAUAAUAACUACAAUUGUUUAUAAUGUGUUUUCUCUAGAAUUCUAUCUUCUUCUAUUUUUAUACAUGCAAUCUUAACAAAUUCAAGGAGACAUUCCAAGAGAAACUCGAGUAGUUGCUGAACUCGUUUCUCUACGGCUUUGAUAUAUAUCCUAGAGAUUAUUUGUUCUAAACCCGGCAGUAAGAAUAGUGAGGGCAAAUAAUAUCCCAAGAACAGUGAUUGUCAUUGCAUAUCAAAGCAUCAAGGAUCUAUCACUAUUUCUUCAUCUUCUUCAGUAAUCAAAUUUUCUCAACAAUUACGUACUCUGAAAUAAGCCCUAACUACACAGAUGCAUCAACCAUCUUCAUCAUGUCUUAAGUCAUACACAGACGCACUACAUAUUUUGCUAUCACUACGACUUCUACAUUUGUUUUCUCAUUUUGUCAUCCUGUCUACCGCGUUGCCUGCCCAAGCAAUGGAAAAACAUUCACUGCUAGCCACACAAAAAAAUUCAUAAAUGGAAAGUGCACCAGAGCAAACAUGGUAGGAGGAGAUCGGCAACCUAUGGUUAUGAACAAACAAGAAAACGACGCUCACCUGCAGUGACAGCCCAACAUCUUAACCAAACAGAGCACUGCUGUCAAACUGAAUAUGUCCUAACGCCUGAAUCUAACAAAUAUCAGGGUCGUAAGUUGCAGCGGAAAGCUCCUUCGUCCUUUUGCAUAGCUUCUCUUCGAGAAAUUUAAACAUAUCCAGUCUUCCUUCCUUUAUAAGCAAUUGCCUUACCCUCCCAAAAGUCAUACGUGAUGGGCGGAUCCCUUUCUCCAUCAUCUCUUCCAAUAAGACACAAGCCCUUGGUGAAUUACCCUUCUUGCAUAAGCCAUUUAUGAGCGCUGAGUAAGUGUGCAUACUUGGUAUGAAUGGCUUCGAGUCCAUAUACUUUUACACCUUGAGAGCCAUCUGCAGCUCAUCCCUCUGGCAGAACAUCUUUAUCAUCAUUGUAUAUGUAUCUGCAUCAGGCUGACAGACCUUAAUCAGUCUCCGGAAGAAGCUGUAAGCCUCAUCGAUUUGCCCACUAUUAAUCAAAUUUGUUAAAAUGAUAUUGUAGGUCGUUGAGUAGGGAUUGACUCGCCUGCUCUCCAUCUCACUCAAGACCCUUUUCACGUUUUUAAAUAUAUUAACUUUGUGAAAGGCGCUAAUCGGGAAAUUAUAUGCUACCACGUCAGCCUCAACUCCAUUCCUUUCCAUUUCUAGGAAUGUCUCGACAGACAGCAUCUUCAAUCUGAUUUUCCGUCCCGUAGGUACGUACCAGUACACUACAAAUGAAAGAUGUUGGCCGACAGGCAGUGGAAUCCAUUUCCUUGACAAUUCCAAUAGCCUCAUCGACUCUCCCAGCCUUGCAAAGUAUGUCGACCAUAAUUCCGUGCGUCACUAUAUCAGGGUCGCAACCUGCGCUACUAAUUUCACGGAAGAUCUCUCUAGACAAUAUUUAACAGUUUGAUACAUCCCAACUAAACGACUCUCACUAUAACAGCUCCACCAGCACGACUCUCUAGACAAAAUUUACCCCGUGCCUUCAACAGUUUGAGUUGUCCAAAUAAAUGAGGAUAAGUACACUAAUGGUGCCAUAAGUUGUGUACGGCGCUCACUUUGGUACCAAAAUGUGUACGGCGUUUACUUUGUUACCAAAAGUUUCUGUCGGAUCAUUUAAAUGCCAAAAAAUUUGAAAAAUGCUCACUUUGGUGCCAACGCCGAUCUGAUCGGCCAGAAAUCCAACGUGACCAUUUUUUUAUUAAUUUAUUAUACUGAUGUGGCUCGCCGAAGAGUCCGAUCAGCAUGUAAACUACCAAACGACGUCGUUUGGCGUCUUAAACCCCAAAUCGAGAGAGAGAGAGAGAGAGAGAGGCCAUGGUGGCGUUGUCUUCUUCCCCGAAGAACAACACCAGUAGAGAGAGAGAGAAGUCAUGGCGGUGUUGUCUUCUUCCCCAAAGAACAACACCAGCAGAGAGAGAGAAGCCAUGGUGGCGGCGUCUUCUUCCCCGAAGAACAACACCAGCACCAGCCACUCUCUAAACAGAGCCCAAUCCACCAUCUCCAUCUGCGCCCUCAUUGUUUCCCUCGCACUCCUCGUCUUUUCUCUCUCUCUGCACCUUCAACCCCCCUUCUUCCUCCUCCUCCUCUGCCCUUGCCUCCUAUUUUCCCAUCACUUCUUGACCGAGCGAUGGUGGCCGAGCACAGUGGCCGAGCAUGGUGACCAAGCGACGGUGGCCAAGCAAGCUAGUUCGGCGAGGAUGAACAAAAAAAAACCUAAUUUCAAUGACAAAUGAGCUAUACGACGUUGUUUUUCCUAAGCCAUUCACAUAGGACGGCAAAAUGACGUCAUUUUCUUAAGUAGGACAUAAAAUGACAUCGUUUAAAGGGUUUAUCGAUUUUUUUUUAAAUAUAAAGCCACGUAAUCAUUUUGGCCGAAAUUUCUCGCUGGUGGCACCAAUUUUUUCUCCGAUUUGGCAUUUAAGUGAUCCGACGGUAACUUUUAGCACCAAAAUAAGCGUCAUAUACAACUUAUGGCACCAUUAGUAUACUUAUCCCAAAUAAAUAAUACUCUAGCCGAAAAAAUUCCACUAGCACGAAAUCACUUGACAAAAUUCACAUCACACCAUCCUGCUAGGCUGCUAUCACCAGUGGCGAUCCAGUGUCUCUAUCAAUCUCAAUUGCAUGACUCUAAACUGAGAUCGGAAUCCAUUCGAGGAAGACUUCUCAUUAUCUGGUCACCCAACCUACACAUUGCAUUGGGUUCGCGUUAAAGCCACACGACUCACGAUCCAUCCAACUUAGCAACGGACGGUCGGUCAUGGCUUGAAACAACUUUUUACAUUCUUACAAGUUCCUUUCUUAACAGGAUCUCACGCUUUCAUGCAGCAUGGAUCGGUCAUAAAUCUGUAGUUUCCUCGUUGGUUCCGCCCAAUGGAGUCCUUUACGUUAGCAGUUGGGAUGGAACCGUCAGGUUAAGGUGCCUGUUAUUGGGCAUCUCGUCGUGGUGCUUGACUGAUGAAAUCGAUGAACUGUAGUCUGUCUGAAGAUUUCUUGUUUCAUUUGGUUUCCAAAAAAAUAAAAGAUAAAUCACUGCUGAAGUUACCUGCGACAAUUGCACCUAAUUUAACAUGGCUUAUCCCGUCAUUUGAUUAGGUCUACUUUGGAUGUUUCUAAUCCCCAUCUCGGAAAUUUCUUCCUUCUAAUUUUGUUUGAAGAUUAUUCUGGAGCCCGUAGAAUCGUUGAUGGAUUAGCAUUCAUGGUCCGAAUGAAAUUGCUACUAUUCAUUUCUCAAAAUUUAUCAUCAAUCAACCAAUUGAUCAUGACACUUCUGAAAAUUACUAUAUUGAAACUUGAAAUUUGGAGACACAUCUAAGGGAAGAUUCCAAAAUAUCCAAGAGUCUUGAUGUUAAUAACGUGAACCACUGAAUUGGGAUUCCAUUCUCUGUUGCAACAAAGUUCAUUAGGUUGAUGCAACGGGAGAAGAUUUCAAAGAAAGAAGAUAUGAGUCCACAAUUAGCAUUUAGUAGUUGUUUUCUCGUCUACCAAUUUCUUACUCCAACAGUACAUGGGGAAAGAUAUUAGAUGCGAGAACUCGUUAAUUAUGUUAUCGGCGUGAUUAUUCAUCGAAUAAACAUAUUCCUCAGUAAUCUGAUCGUGGUGUGCUUUGCUUGUGGCCUGUGGGUUUCUAUUUUUAUUUUUAUUUUUUAUUUUUUUUUGCAGCUCAUGUGAAUGCGUGAAUGGGAGCUACAAGGAAGGAGCGGAAUUAUCAAACUGACUUGACAUCGGUCAGACAAUUCAUGUCUGAAUUUUCGCACUUUUUAAUGAUAGAGGUAACGAUAUCCCUUCUUUUUUUGGCCGAAAGGUAACGAUAUUCCACAAGUCCAACUUCCAAUCAUGGAAAGCCCCAUUUUUAGGGAUAAUCAAUUGUCGGUCUAGUCUAGUGUUAAGGUGAAAUUAGGAAUUAGACCAGGAGGACCGGUUCCCAAAAGUCAAAACUGGUCGGUCUCGUUCAAUAGAACCAAUCACUUAUUUUUUUUCACUACUUUUUUUGUAUUUUUUUUUUCACUACUUGGAGGUGGACUGGAAUAGUGUUUAGCUUACAUUUCAUUAAUUUUUUUAAAGAAAUAAUAAAAUAAAAAAGUAUAUCUAGUUAGUUUGGUCCGAUUUCCCCUUGCUAGGAACCAGACCGUCCGAAUACGGAUUCCACUUAUAGGAACUAGGAAUCAAAUCAACACUCUCAAGAAUAGGACCAAGGUGAUUUUCGAUGUCCCCCUCAAAGAGCCUUCUCUACUCCUAGUGAAGACAACUCGUCACUACCCUAAUUAAAAAAUUAGACAUAUUUGAUAGUCCCCACCAUUAACAUUCAACUAUGACUUUCUCCCUUGAGGGGUUGAGGGCUGCAGCACAACGAUGAAGGGAUCAAACUAUCUUAUAUGAGACCAUAAAUUCCACUAACGUUGUGAGGGAAGAUCUUAUCAUUUUGUUAUUUUUCCUUAUUUUGUUAUAAGCUACAUAGCAUCGACACUUUCCGGGAACUUUCAUGUCUUCGAUACUCCGACACAUGUUUGACACGUUCCAACACGCAGUCAAUGAGUGUUGGAAAAUCAUAUACAUAGUCAACUCUCCCUAACACACGAGUCUAGAAUUCCAACACACUCAGGUCAAUUUUAAAAAGUUUUAAUACUUAAGGGGUUAAGAUAUAAAUAUAUAUAAAAAAAGCCCCUCACUGGCUUGGGUGAGGCCAUAGCCAGUCAAGCAAAGGCCAGCAAGGCUCACCCCAAUUUGAGUGAUGCCUUAGCUAAGGCUUGAGCAAGGCUCGCCUAGAUCUGGGUGACAUUGCGCCCUUGCUCGGGCCUAACAAGGGUCGCUGGCCCUCACCUAAGGCUAGGGAGGCUCACUGGCCACAGACGAGGGCCGGUGUUGCUCAGAUCUGGGUGAGCCUUGCCCAAGCCUAGUUGGGGAUUGCGAGGGUCGCCCACCCUCUAUGGUCCCCUCCGACGAUGGCAAAGGCAUGGCCAGCCACCCAUGACCCUGUUUUUUUCUUUUUCACGACCUUCCCUUUUUUUCUCUAGUUUUUUUUUUUUUUAGAAUUAUUCCCCGCCACCCACCUACCUUUUUUUUUUCACGACCCUCUCCUUGUUUUCUAGUUUUUUUUAGAAAUAUUAUAGCUUUUUUAGAAGUUUUUAAAUAUUUUUAAAUAAUAUUUUUUAAAAAUAAUAAAUAAAAUUACCACGUAGGAUAAAUAAAUUAAUUUUAAAAAACUACUUCAGCAUUUUCAAGUAAACAAAUUGACAGUAUUAACGGAAGAACUCGAUUGCAUUAAUUUGAUAAGUUUUAGGACCUGUAGUGCACAUAUCCAUAAAUUUGAUAGUAGAAUGUAGGGGUGUGCAUGGUCUAGGCGGGGGGUUUCCGACCUAGAACCUGGAACCGCCCGUUAAGAACCGAUUCAGAAAAAUUGAAACCGGGAUCCGGUCCGUUUCCCGGGUGGAUCCAUGAAACCGGUCUCACAAUAAUCAUGAAACCGGUCUCACAAUAAUACCAUGGAACCGGUUUCCUCAUGAACCCUAGACCUAUUCUUCUUCUCAUCCUCCUGCAACCCUACUUCUUCGCGUGCUGGCCUUUUGAGUUUUGCCCACUAACUGCUCGGCGUUUUGUCAAGGUCCGCUUUAGACUUUUUAACUUCCGGACGUCUCCAUUUGCUCGGCGUUUUGUCAAAGGGGUUCAUGCACUACUUGCCUUUUGAUGCUGGGUAACCUUUUCCAAGAAGAGUAAAGCGAGGGAUAGAAUGGAAGGCCUUUUGUCCGCCGCUAAGGAGGAUGAGUGAGGAUGCAUGCAUAGCUCCCUGUUAAUUAGUAAUUUCAAAUUUUUUUAAUAUUAAAAAUUAAUCGGUCUGGUCCGGGUGGGCGGGUGGGCAGAUCCACCAAUGAAACCGGAAAUCGAAUCAGUACCCACCGGUUCCCAUAAAUUGGAACCGGGAACCGGACCGAUUUCCUCAAGAACCACCAAUUCCAAGCGGUUCCAGUCCGGUUCUGGGCGGUCCGGGCGGAUCCUGGUUCUUUUGCACACCCCUAGUAGAAUGUGGAUUGUUUUUUUUUCUCAAAAUUUUAUAGAUUAUUGAAUUUGUCAAGUUAAAUAAUGAAUGAUAUUAACAAAUGUUGGAUUAAUAUUUUUAGUGUAAAUUAAUUCUAGGCUCUUAUUAUUAUUAUUAUUAUUAUUAUUAUUAUUAUUAUUAUUAUUAUUAUUAUUAUUAUUAUUAUUAUUAUUAUUAUUAUUAUUAUUUAUUUGAACAUUUAUAUAUAAAAAUAUAUUUAAUGUAUAAAGUGUGGGAAUGUGUUCAAAUUCUCUAGUUUUUAAGAAAUGACGUAUCAAUGUGUUGUGUCGCGUGUCCGUGUUGGUCUUAUAUAGGUUAUGAGCACGAAAACUCAUAACAACUCUAUUGUUGUUAAUACUUCGUCUCAUAUUUCCAAAAAAUUGGAUUUUAUUUGCGAAAUCCCUUUGUUUAAUUCGCUAGUUAUAAAAAAAAAAAAUUGGGAUUUUUUUUUACAGCCAAGAAUGUAAAUAGGUCAUUUCGAAUUAAUGGAUUGAUGGUAAAAUCUCUUCUGGGGGAUUGCAUCCAUAGACGCAAAAGUUUAUCGCAAUAUAUAGAAGCAACAGUUACAUAUUUCUUAGGUGUCUAGUAAUUCUACAAAAUAUUAUCCGUUGAGAGUGUAGAUUAUACGUUUAGUCAUCUCCAUUCAUUUUAAUUUAUGCUAAAGAAUAAAUAAGCAAGCCUCGCAAGGAUGGAAUGGGACUUUUUUAUAGCUCUCACGUAAAAAAUCAAGGGGAAAAUCCUCCAAUAACCAUAGAGUCAUUUUUUUUACCCUAUAUUAUAAAAUGUUUCGUACAUUUAUUUCUGGAGGAAAAGAAUAUUAGAAAAAUUAUGGUGGCUAGAAAUAAUGUCUUCAAAAAGAUAUCGUGAGUUGCACUCGCACGUCUACAACAGGCGAGACUGUCUCGAUUCGCCACGUGAGUCAACGCUGAGGCUUUCUUUUUUGUUGGUAAAAUCAACGCUGCUGCGUUGAGCAUAUUUUGGGAGAAAGCUCGUGGAAAGAUGCAAAGCAACUUGAAGGUUUUCAACCUGCAAAAUGCUUUAAAAAGAAGAAAAAUGUUACGUUAGUCGGCUUAUUAUAUCACCGACGAGAUAAUAGAAUUAAUUAAUGCUGUUAUAACAUGUAAACAGAAUAUAUGUAGUUCUCCAACAAUUCAAUUUUUUUUAAAAAUCAAUGACCUCGGUACAUAGUCACAAGUUGACUUGUAUGAAUACCAACUUUAAAUUCUUGCUUGUUAGGGUGGACACAAACAGGAAGGCCAACAGCAUGAAAUCCAAUUUACUUUGGUUGCGUUUGGUUCAAUAUUUGAAAAAAGCUUUUGGGUAAAUGCAAAAUACUUUAGCAUAAUUUUUUUUCAUGAAAAGCAAAUACUGUUCAAUUUUCUUCUUGCUCUUAUGCAUAACUAUUUCAAUCCUUUUGAUGAGAAUUAGUUUUUGACCUUGUCUCUACAAUUAGAAGCAUCAUGUUAUUGUCAAUUUAUAAUAAUCGAGCGACAAAUAUUACUGACUUCUUUUUUCUUCCCCUUUUUGGUAUAGGAUUGCGAAAAUAGGUCACAUAAAAGAUCUAGACUUUUAAAGUAUUUUGGAAAGAAACAAAAAGGAGAGAUUCUCUAUCCUCAUGGGAUUUAAUGCUAACCUCUCUUUUUCUCACUCCCCAAAAUUCACACCUUGUAAAUGGCACUUUGAUUUCCUCUUGAUUUCGUGUUCCUCGCUGUAUUUUCAAUUAAUCGAUGCAUUGUUCCCUUUAUUUCUUUUAAUCUCCGGUCCUUACACUUUGCUAUUCAAGCAAUUUAUCUUUCUUGUCAUUUAGGUCGAUUUAGCAACAUCCGUUUCAUGCCUUCCUCUCCAGUAGGGGUGGCAAAUGAGUGUGUCAGGUCGGGUAUAGGUCGGGUCGAAAAUGGGUUGACCUAUAUUUGACCCAUUUAACCCGUUUUGACCUAUAUUCCUGUAGUAUAAAUCUAGUGACUCAUACUCGACCCGACCCGUACCCAACCCGAUCCGUAUUGCUAAAACCUACUUAUUGUUAAAAUAUUUUUAUGCAAUACAAAUUUUUUAACAAUUUUUAUGCAAUACAAAUUUAAUGGAAAAUUUUUAUAAUUAUUUUUAAAAUAUUUUUUUAAAUCGAUUUUUUUAAUUUUUUAACUAUAUUUUUUAAUUAUUUUUUAUUUUUUUAAAUGUAUUUUUUAAUUUUUAUUUUUUUAAAAUGUAUUUUUUAGUUAUUUUUAUUUUAAAAUAUAUAUUAUUAAUUAUUUUUAUUUUAAAAUAUAUAUUAUUAAUUAUUUUUAUUUUUAAAAAUAUAAUUUUUAUUUUUUAAAAUAUCAUUUCUAAUUUUAAUAAUUAUUUUCUCUUUUCUCUUUUUUUUUUCUUCUUCUUCGACUAGCCGCUGGCCACGACGACGGCUAGUGACCGGCCACAGGCGAGAUCGAGCUUGCCGGUGUUAGGCAGAGCUCGAUCUUGCCGAUCCGGUGAGGCUAAGGCCCCACCCGACGUCAGCAAGCUCGAGCCUCGCUAGUUGUCGGCGAGGCCGAGCCUCGCCGAAUCUGGUGAGACUCGAGCUCGCCGGCGUCGGGCGAGGCUCAAGACUCGCCGAAUCGCCCGACACCGAUCUCGCCAUUCUAACGAGGUUGAGGCGUCGCCCGACGCCGGCAAGCUCGAGCCUCACUAGUCGUCGGCGAGGCUGAGAAAUCCGGCGAGGCUUAGUAGUCGGCGACCUUCAAGGGAGUGGCGGAGGCAAGCCUUAGAGGCGGGCGGCGGAGGGCUGUCGAAGGGCUAAAGAAGGUGAAGUUCAUGUUUUUUAGGUUUUAAAAAUGGGUCGAAAAUGGGUCAGAACAUGUGACCCAUUUUCGACCCAUAUAAAAUUGAACUUAAAAUGGGUCGAAUGUGGGUGAUAGCCCAUUACAACUUCAUAACCCACAUUGGACCCAUUUGUGAAAAAUAUGGGUGCAAAAUGGAUCCAUGACCCAUUUUGCCACCUCUACUCUCCAAGCUCACACCUUACACGCACAUGCACCUUUCGAUCCAUUUUUGAAGACUUUUUUUUGUGCGAUGUGGUCGAACUCGAACCAGGGAACAAAGUUUUAUGUUUUGAAUUUUUUUAAUCAUUCGACCAUCAGAUUUACCUAGGUCAAUUUAGCACCGACGAAUAUGUAACUAAUUUUGCUAUCGUGUAUAAGAACAUUACCAACAAGAAAACUUUAAGGUUUAUUAGCAAUGUAAAUUCAUCAUUACAUACAAAAUUGCAUCUUUAAUCAUAAAUAGCAGUAAUUGAGAUUAUUGAUAAUUAUUUUAGUUAUUCUAUUGUGAAGAAAAAAAUAGAAAAAAUCUCGAAUAAGAGCUUGAAGUGAUUUCAUUUUCUCAAAUAAGGACAUAGAGCAGAUAUUGUUUCAAAUAAAGGUUCGAAAUGUCCUCAUUUUCUUAUAUAAGGGCCUAAAGUGGAAUUGUUUCAAAUAAGGGUUUGAAAUAGCUAUAUCAAUCCCAAAUAAGUGUCUGAACUCACCCGCUGUGAUGGGUAAUUUCAUCUUUUUAAAUUUUUCUUUUUUUUCGUAAAAAUAAAUAAAACUAAUUAAAAAAAGAGGGGAACACAUAGGUUGGAGGCUGCUACCCCAUCGUCGUUGGGAUGGCAACGAUGGCCGAUGGGGUUGUCGGUGCCUGGGCAAGGACCGGCGACCUCAGUCGACCAGAGGCGAGGGCCUGUUGGCACUCGCAAGGGACAAGAGAGGGUGGUGACCCUCUCCUAGAUCUGAGCGAGGGUCAACAGCCCUCGUGCUGGCCUGGUAGUGCUCGCCUAGGGCCCUUGGACUUGGUUGCCUAGGUCUAGGAGCGUUGGGCGAAGGCCAACAACCCUCGCCUAGAUCUAGGAGAGGGUCGCCACUAGGGGUGUGCAUGGUCCAGACGAGUGAUUCCCAACCUAGAAAUAGAAAUCCCCUGCUAAUGACCAGUUUCGAAAAAUUGAAAUCGGGAACCGUCCAUUAGUUGCAUAGAUCCACCUGGGAACUAGACCGCCGAUCUGAUUCGGUUCCCUAGUGGAUUCAUGGAAUCGGUCUUUAAUAGUCAAUGGAGCAACAACCACCCAGAAUCAGAAUAGGAGCUGGCAACCUUUUUUUAUCCCUUUUGUUUUCUUGGCCCUGAGGGUUCUACAAGGGUUUAUGCAAAGCUCUGUUGCUGCGAAGCCUAGCUUACUUGUUGCCCUGACUUUGUAGCUGAUGGGUUCUACUAAUUACAUGUUGAAGAGGUUUAGUGAUAGUUUGGGGCAUUUGAAUAGAUCUAAUAGGAUGUUGGCUAAGCUAGAGGAAGAGGGAUCUAGAGUGGAGGACAUUAGACCCAUGUAGCACUCAAUGCUUCUUGAGUUGGCGAACAUGAAGAUGAUGAUGGCAAGAAGAGGGGAUGCUAUUAGGGAUCUUAGGAAGUGUCUGGAAAUUUUUUUAAUAUUAAAAAUAAUAUAUUAUUAUAAUAUAACUGAUCCAGUUUAGAAAGGCAAUUGGGUGAAUUCGCCCAUGGAACUAGAAACCGAAUUGGUACCCACCAAUUUCUAUAAAUUGGAAUUGGGCACCAGACCGGUUCUGAGCAGUUUCAGCCUAGUUCUGAGCAGUCCGAGCAGGUCCUAGUUUCUUUGCACACCCCCGGUCGCCGCCCUCUCCCGUCUUAGCCCUAACUUGUGGUUAAUGGGAGUCGCCGAUGAGCCCACUAGCCAUCGUUGCCUCCCCAUCGGUGAUGGGGCGGCCACAGGCCUCCCGCCUAUGUGUUCUCCUUCUCUCUUUUAUAAAGUUUUAAUAUAAUUAAAUUUAAAUUUAUAUUGUGUUUGGACAAAAAUACUCCUGAUUGGUUGAAAUUUUUUAUUGAUUGGCAAGCUGGCAAGAUUAGGCCCUUAUUUGAAAUAAUUAUAAUCACUUCAGGCCAUUCUUUUAGGCUAAUAUAGCUACUGUAGGCCCUCAUUUAAAUUUUUUUGAAAAACAUAUUUGUACAUGAAAUUUGUGAUAAUUGUGCAUUACAUUUAUUUAAGUUAUUAAAAGAAUUUCAACUAUUGUACUGUGAACAAUAUGAGAAUUAGUAUUAUACAAAGUGCAAAAUAUAAUAUAUUAUUAAUAAGAAUUAGUAAGAAAUUAUUCGAAUAUUAUGAUUAAGAAUAAUAUUAACCACAAUGGUAUGAUAUCAAACUAAUCAUUCUAUUAUUGCGUCAUUAAUACUAUUCUAAUGAUUAAUAUGCAUAUUUUUUAAUAUGUGAGAGGGAGAGAGAGAGAUAUGGUGCUUGGGAAAAGUGAUAACAGUUUUGAUUGUAUAGCUAUUAGAUAAAGUCAUGUAAUAACUAUUACAGUAGAAACUAUGAAAGGGAUUACAGUGUAUAAGCAAUAAGUAAUGAAAGACUAACUUUUGUCUUAAUGAGUUUCUAGUUGAUGGUUAUUUAUGUCUAUUUUCAUAAACCAUCAUUGACAAGCUUAAACUUUCAUAUAUAAAUGAUAUGUACCUUUUCUUCGGGAAAGGCUUUAAUGGGCACGACAAACGAUGGAGAUCGAUGGUACUCUAGGUAUUGCUGAAAGUUACGAUGAAAUUUAUUCUCUUUCUCUCUUUUAUUUAUAAUUAUUUGUUAUGAAAUUUUUGUAAUUCAAAAUAAUAUAUACCACCCCAUCCCUCAUUCCUCCUUGUUCGUCUCUGUGACCCCUAACGCACGACUCUCAUUUCUUCUUCUUGGUUUCCCAUAUCCAGCUUGCUCUGCCCUCGCUCUCUCAACUUAUUUACAUCUUGUGUUGGGGGGCAUAAAUGCCUUCAUGGUUGCGCCAACGCUUCGACAACCAUUGUUGUCCCAAUCGCGAAGGGACAGUAUUGAAAACGAGUAUUCACAUAAUCACAUCAGUGAUCGGUGUUGGAGUCCUAUCCUUGGCUUGGGCCACCGCACAGCUUGGCUGGAUUGCUGGCCCUAUCACCAUGCUCCUGUUCGCCCUUGUCACUUGCUACACCUCCCAAAUCCUCGCCGCCUGUUUCCGCCUUGAAGACAACACCUACAUGGAUGUCGUCGCUGCCAAUCUCAGUAUGCUAAUACUGUAUCGGUGUUCAUUUUUAGAUUCAUAUACUAAUGUCUCUAUCAUGACCAAUCAAGGUGCAUUGGGCGCUAAAUCUUCUCUUCGAAUAAAUUCUCCAGGUGGGUUCAAAGUCAUGACCAAUAGGUAGUUGUCUCUGUCAUGACAACUACCUAAAAUGCUAUUAGUUACAAUUAUACAAAGUUUACAAUUUCAUAUGUAAAGAUGAAAUUACAUUGUUAAUUGACAUUAAGUUUUAUUACUAAUAUAGUUAUACAAAAUAACAUAAUCAAAUGCACAUUGUCUAUGCUGAAUCGACCUAGGCAAAUAUGUCAGUCAAGCGGUUGGAAAAACAAACACAAAAGUUUACUCUCUGGUUCCAAUUCAACCACAGAGGAAAAUUAUUUAAAAAUGUUUAAAUCUAUUGCAAAUGUGUCAUAAUUUUGUCAAUUUAAUCUCAAGUCUUAUAAUAAUUUACCAAUAGAGUCCAUCCAAUCAAUUUUAAAUAGAAAAUCAUUGACGCAAACAUCAGCUAUUAUAUGUGGCAUUAUUGGUAUUGACAUGGACAAAUUUGUAAUUUUGUAAUUUUUUUAAUUUUUUAAUUUUGAAUUAUUUAUAUUUUAUUUUUUUUCAUAUAUUUUGGGUGACCAUCACUAACAAUUGAACCCUUGUCGGUCCCUAGCAAGGGUUAUGACCCUUGCCCAAGCCCUUGCAAGCAGCAGGUAAGGGCCACAACCCAUGUUAGAUUUGGGCAAGGGCCACCUCCCUUGCCUAUGGUCGGUGGUGACCCUCGCCUAACUCUCUUCAGCCAUCGCUCAAGAUCAACCAACUACAAAAAGGAAAGAAAACACUGAAAAAAAAAUUAAAAAUUAAAAAUUAUUCACAUCAGCAAUAACAUGCUACAUUGAACUGCUGGUGUUGAUUGGAACAUUGCAUCAAUGUUUCUUGAUUAAAAUUAGUCGAAAGAGCUAUGCUAAUAAAUUGUUAAAAAGUUUAGAACUAAAUUUAUACAAAUACAAUAUAUUUAAAACUUCUUUGAUAAUUUUCCCAUCACAAAGUGCUCAAACUAUGCGUCAAUUAAGUUUUUCAAAGAUGGAUCCGGCGGUGCACGUGUGUAACGCGUGCUAGCCCGAAGAGCAAAGGGUGAAAUGGAUUUUGCUUUUCUGACCUAAAUGACAAGCAAGACAAAUUCCCUGAAAAGUAAAGUGCAAGGACCGGAGAUUAAAGGAAAUUAAAGGAACGGUUCAAGAAUUAAAUAAAAUUUACUUUAGGAUCACGUCAUUGAAAAGGAAAUCGAAGCAUAAACAUUGGAAUUGAGAUUAUUGGAACAUAUGUGUCGUCGGGAUAUUGAAAGGAAAGUUGAAACACUUGAUGCUCAAAAUUGAAACGAACGCUACACCGGUGUGUGCAGUGGACUUUCCUAAUUGCAAGCUUGACUAUAGAACUAAAACUGGAUCGGAAAAACAAUGUUCCGAGGGGAAGAUUUGGUAGCAUUUCAGCAUGGUUUGAGCAGUGUGAUGACACUCGAAUUUUUGUCUGCAUUUUAAGUAUCCAUGCAUUUUACAAAUAAUAUAUAUAAGAAAAGGGGGGAUAAAAGAUAAAAAGCUUAAAAAUAUGUAUAAAAAUAUGUAUAUAUAUAUAUAAGACAUAUAUAAUAGAGAAAAAAAUGGAAAUAUAAUUCAGAGCAUAUUAAUUCAGAGCAUAUUCUCUUUAGUAAGUUUCCGCCCUGUUAAGCCCACGUGGCCAGCCCAUGCGUCUGACUCACUUUCCUUGGCCCAUUUCUAUGUUUCUUUUUUUUUCAGCCAUCUCCCUUUUGUCUCUCGUGGCCCAUCUUUUCUUAUUUUUUAAGCCUACGAUUGGAGCCCAUGUCAAAACCAAACAAAAAAAAUGCACAGCUCAUCACCCAUUUUCUCUCCUCUGCACACGCGCGUGAGGCUUGAGCCCAGCAAAGGGAAUGAGGACGUGCGAGACAGCGAGUGACCAUGACGAAAGCAGAAGGAGUGAUCCACAUUUACUUCUCCGUCGGAUAAAAUAUUCGGUUUGCAAUAGCGUCCGCAUAUUUACUAUUAACUAAUUAAAAAUUGAAACGAAGGCAUCAGAGAAAUAAAUUAAAAAAUCCCUUUAAUCACCUAGAUUUCUCUUUUCCUCCUCUUCCAUCUGCACGCGCGAGCCUAACCUCCGCCCCUCCUUCCGCCAUCGCCACCGGCGGAGUCGGAGUCGCCGGCGCCGCAUCAAACCAGUUUGGCCAUCUCCUCCGCCCGUGCCUCAGUUCCAAAUCCGGCGGCGAGGGACUAGAUAUGGUCACGAGAGAAGCCAUGGCUGAAGCUGAUCUCUCUCAUUCCACCACUCAACAGAGAUUCCAUGGACUGGAACCGUUGGCCAUGGCUCCAGAUCUGGAGCCCUGGCCGCGAGCCCACUGCUCUGCGUCUCCAAGAGGGUGGACGCGGAGGUCGAUUGUCGCUCACGGCUAUGGCUCCAGAUCUGGAGCUUUGGCCGCGAGCCCACUGCUGUGCGUCUUCAAUCUGCCGCCGGGACCACGGAGAGGGUGGACGCGGAGCCCACUGCUCUGCGUCUCCUAAUCUGCGGCUUAGCCGCCAGGACGACAGAGAGGGUGGGCGCUCAUAUCUGUGGACGAGAAGCCGUCCAUGGCCGACCGCUACUCUGCAUCUGCAGAUCUGGUUUGCUGCUCAACAGCUUUGAGAUCGAGUCUUGGCUCGUCCAUGGCUGCCGGCGACGAGCUCAACAGCUUUGCCGCAGACCGCGGCGGCCACGGUGGGGCGGUGGUUCAAGACAGCGGCGGCGGCGGCGGCUUGGGCGGUGGAGAUAGCCGAGCCCAGGCGGAGCGGAUGUUGAAGCUGGAGGGAAAAAGAGGGAAAAGAAUUAAUAUUUUUGAAUUUACAUGUCAAUAUCCACGUGUCAAAAUAUAAUUAGAUAUUAAGUAAAGCAAGCCUGUUAGGUCAGAUGUUUGACGUCAGCAAUUAACAUCGAAUAUCUCGAACUAUUCCGGAAAAAGAAUCAAUUUUCCAUUCUACUCUAAAUCUGUGGCUGUCACUUCAUAUUUUGCUCCCACUAGAAACAGGAGUGGGCGUAAGGAGCGACAGGCGUAGUGGAAAAUGAUUCGAUUGUGGAGAGGGGGGAGGAAUGCGUGAGAGGGGCUGGCUGUUUAUGGGUAUCAGGCAGAAUGCUCGGCCAUAAUUUGCAAGGGAGGUCUCGCUGGUUUUUGAGAAGUUGGAAGGCUGGCUCGAGAGGAAGCUCUCUGGAGACGAAGCACAAUCGUACCUUCUCCCUUCAUCUCUUCUCGCCUUACAAUCCUCCCGAUCUCUCCUCUGACAUUCACCCACCUCCUAAACGCCAUCCGCUCAUAACCGUCCAUCGCCGUCGCUCGCCUCAUCCUCAAAGGAUACCAGUCACGCUCUGUGUAGGGCUUUGCAACGGAGACUUUUGGAAGCUCAUGGCUUCUCCUUUGAGUGGGGAGGGCUUCGGCAAGAGGAGGGAGCUUCGGCCAUUGGACAACCUCUUGCGCGACCGUCGAUCAUCACUCUGUCCACGACUGAGCGGAAGUCGUAGACCUUAUCCCUGGACGUGAAAGAAAGCUAUUCGUCGUCCGUCAAUCUUCGCCGCUGACUGCACGACGACUAAGACCCAUCCCCGAACCAGGUGAGCUCUCGCUCGGCUUUACUGUGUUCUAUAAAUUUUGGUUUGAGCGAUGAAAUCCUGAGGAAUUUAGUCGAAGCUAAGGUCGUUUAGUAGUGAGUUAUCUUGAGUUGGACGUUGAUGCAUCUUGUUUAAGCCGAAGGCUCUUUGGUUCUGGAGUUUAUAAUCAAUAGUGCAUACUACGGGGGUGUUUAGUUGGGUACCAAAGUCCCUUGGGGAAAACUUUUGGUGUUUGGCAAAUUUUUUGGAAGCUCUUUGCCCCAAAUAUGAGCAUUCCGACUGCUCAAUGCUGAAAGCUGGAGAGGGGCAGCAUUCAGCAUUCGGCAUUUAGGAAAUGCCACGCCACUGUUCAUCUUUCUUCUUCCCCAGUCUUCUUCUUCUUCUCGUCUUCUUCUUCUUCCCGGCCACCGGCCUUCUCCGGCAGCCACCGCCGCCGCCAUCUGAGGGUCGCGCGUCGCCGGUGACCACCGUCUAGGGGUGGCGCGACGCCGCCUGAGGUCCGCGUCGCCUGAGGUCGUGCGGACCCAGGCGGCGUCGCCUGGUUCCUGGCCGCUGGAUUUGAUUUUCAGAUUUAAAAAAAAUAAAUAAAUAAAAGUAAAAGUCCAUUUGUAAUAAGUUUUGUCAAAGGGUAUUUUUGCACAAGCCACUUUCCAAUGCAUAAUUUGCCAAACGUCCGAGCAUUCUCGAAAACCCCUUUACCCUAAAAAUAUUUGCAUUUGGCCAAAGACAUUUCCCCAAAUCGAACCAAACGGGCCUUACAUGUUCGAUGAUUUGCCUGAAUGAAGCAUAAAAAUCUUCAUGAGUACCGGAUCUGAUGGUCAAAGGUUUAGGUGAAUCAUAGUAAACUAAGACUAAUCCAGCACGAAAAUUUUUAAUCUAGACUUGUAUGCAUUAUCUCUGGCUCAAAGAUUGCAAUAAAUCUUGCUCUGAAACACGUUUGUUAUCAACUGUUUGAUGGAAUGCUUAAGUGAAGUGCUGAAACCUGCAUAAUCGGAUUGAUCUUUAGAAGCCUAGUUUAAUGUGUUUGUUCUUAUAUUGUGAAUUUACGUCUGAUAUCACUCUUUUAUCUUUGUUUCCUUGUGAUGAUUUUCAUAAUAUAUGCAUCAAUCUGUCAGGUCGGAACGCAAGCGCUGCUCCCUCGCUCCAACUACUGAUAUGACUUUGAGAAUACUUUGCAAGGUAUCUUGGUAUGACCUCUGCCCAUGUCCAUACGCCCAACGCUUUCUUUAGUCUUGUGACCUUAAAUAAGCAACACUUCAGUUGGACUAGGACCAAGCACUAAAAACCCUCUUUGCAAAUCCCAACGCAACUCUUGUACAGCCUUAGCAUCGGUCCUGCACUCGAGCCUGCUAUCACCUCCUUAUAUGAACACUUCCACUUCGUUUGGCUUUUCUCUUCUCUUCUCUCCUUUAUUAAAACUUAGUCCCACGGUUUAAGGCCAUCCUAGUUAGCACUUCUUGCCAUUUUAAUGCAUUCGUGACUGUUUGUUUGCUGGAAAUCUGGGAUCGGAAAUGUUAGCUUGGUAUGGUUAUUUCCUUUUGUUGUUGCAGUCGAUUGUUUGAUGGAAUGUUUAAGUGAAGUGCCUAAACCCGCAUAAUCGGAUUGAUCUUUAGAAGCCUAGUUUAAUGUGUUUGUUCUUAUAUUGUGAAUUUACGUCUGAUAUCAUUCUUUUAUCUUUGUUUCCUUGUGAUCUUCAUGGCAUAUGUAUCAAUCUCUCAGGUCGCCGGAAAAGCAAAACCUCAUCGAAACGCAAAUGCUGCUCCUCGCUCCAACUACUUAUAUGACUUUGAGAAUAGUCUGCAAGGGCAUCUGUUACUUCCAUCUAUGUUGGUAUGACCUCUGUCCAUAUGCCCAACGCUUUCUUUAGUCUUGUGACUCUUAAAUAAGCGACACUACAGUCGGACUAAGACCAAGCGCAGAAAAGUCUCCUUGCAAAUCCCAAUGCAACUCUUGUACAGCCUUGGCGUCCGUCCUGCACUCAAGCCUGCUAUCACCUCCUUUUAUGAACACUUUCACUUAUUUUGGCUUUUCUCUUCUCUCCUUUCUUAAAACUUAGUCCUGCAGUUUAAGGCCGUCCUAGUUAGCAUUUCUUCCCAUUCUAAUGCAUUUGUGACUGUUUGUUUGCUGGGAAUCUGGGAUUGAAAAUGUUAGCUUCGGUAUGGUUAUUUCCUUUUGUUGUUGCAGUCGCUGGAGUUAGGUGUUGUUGGCCGGAGUUGGAUGUUGUUGGUCGGAGUGGAUGACUGGCAGAGAGAGGUGGUUAGGCGGUGAUGUGGAUUCCGGUAACGACAUGACCGGAGCGAUGGUGCCGGCGUCGGGACUUUUGGUUCUGGAAAAACGAAGUUGCAGGUAGAUUAUGAAGAGGAAAAAGACAAAACAGAAAAAGGCAAAAACAAUAAAAGAAAAGAGAGAAAAAAAAAAAGGGGUGUUUGGGGCUUCCUUAGUGUGGGCCGAGUCUUAUGAGGUUUCGGGCCAGUUGUCAUUUUGGGCUAGAACCUAAGUGGGCUUAGUUAAUUCCGAGUGGGCUUUUAAGGUUAAUAUUUUAAGUCCAACCCGAACUGAUAAGGUUCAGGUCGGUUUAGUUGGGUCGGGUUUAUUGACCCGGUCCUAAUAUCUUUUAUGUUAAUAUUAAAAAUAUAUAUAAAAUAAAUAAAUAUUAAAAAAUUAAAAAUAAAAUAAAAUUUAAAAUUCAGAAAAUGAUAAUAAGCUUUAUAAAUUUUAGGAAAUGAUAAUAAAAAAUUUAGAAAAUUCAAAAAUCAAUACAAAAUUAGAAAUUUUUUAGAAAAUCAUUAAAAAAUUAAAAAAUCUGAAAAAGUCAUUAGAAAAUGCUAAACAAUUAAAAAUUGUAGAAAACUCUUAGAAAUUAAAUCCUAAAAUUAGACAAGACAUUAGGGUUUUACAAUGAGCUUCCCCUUUUAUUGUCCUUUUCUCUUUUAAGAACAAUAUUAGGAUGCUUGUGUACUUUCAUUUACGAUUAUAAUUGCUUGUGCAUUUUAAUUUUUUUGUGUUACUUUCCUACUUUCAAAUGGUUAGAGCGGUUUUUUUUAAAGAUAAUUUAUCAUGGUUUUAGUUAGCAUUUAAUCAAGUUAGGUACCAAAAGGGCAUUAGUCUUAGGACUAAUGUAAUCAAGUCUCUGAUUCUUGAGUCUCCGAUUGCGUAAAUAGUAAGAUAUUCUCAUGUAUCAUAUUGGGUUUUUAGCCAACCAAAAAAGGGCUAGUGGCAACUUCUUUGUUAAAAUUUGCAUAGGCUUAUAAUUGAAAAAAAAAAAUUGAACGUUCAAUGUCGCAUGAGAUAUGGGUUUAAGUGGAAGCAAUAUUCUAAUCCCUAUCUUUAAAGGACCACCUUAGCCUUAAAAAAAUCGUGCGGCACAUUGCUUCUCGUCCAUCCUUGUUGUUGAGGGCGAAUAUGGUUCCCUUCAUUAUUAAUCCCCCCCACAAACAAUUGACAGCUUUAUCAAAUUACCCCAAAAAAAAAACUUAUAAAUGAUGACACCAUUGAACUCCCCUGGUGCGUAGAUCACUUAAAUUGAAAAAAUCAUUGCCAUUUGGGAGGUGGGCAGCAAGCCGCAUCUCAUUCUCUUGUCUUUAUAUCCUCCUUGGAUCUUCCUCCACGAUGACUGGAAUUCACGGGCAUUCCUGCUUCAACCGUUCUCACUUCUCUAAAAUUUCACUCGAUUUACUUCGAUCGGCUUCCUUGGCUUAUACUCGUGCCCGAAUCCGACCUAAUAUCUGAGCUGUGCCUGACCAAAAAGAUAAAAAGUAGCCAGAUGAGAACAUAUCAUAUCAUUAAUUUCAAUGAAAGCAGUUUGUAUGUGAUAUGAAAUACUUAUUAUUUCGUUUGGCUGACAUUAUAAUAGCAUAUAAAAAAACUUUAAAAUGUCCUAUUUAAUCCCCCCACUUUAUUAUAUAUAUAUUAGUUACGUUUUACUUUUUGUUGCUCGUUUACAACACAUUUGACAAAUAUGCAGAGCCGGUAAAAUAGAACUUUUCAAAAACAGUGUUCCUGUGUGUAAGGAUAUAUGCAGCAAACAAACUAUUUUUCUCACUUUUACAAGCAUAUUCCGCUGGAUAGAAAUCGUCCAAUCUUGCUUUCUUGUCUGUACCCUAAAAUGCUAUGACUAUUUUAUUCACCAAAAUAUUCCUAAUUUAAAUUUUGUUAAGAAAAAUAAAUCGUCCAAUCUUGCUUUCUUGCGUUUACAUGGCAUCAAGAUUAUUAAAUGAAUAAAUCCAAUUACUGUAUUUAUCCCUAGUACGUCAACGAUAGAUUUAUCCAUCCAAGGUGGGAUUUCUCGUCAUCGAAAAAAAAUUGCGGGGCAACGAAUGAAAAGGGAGAAAACAAUCAAAUCGCUGCAUUUCAAAUUACGUAGAUCUAACAUUGGCAAGUGAAAAAAAAAAAAUCAGAAGUUAUUUGUACAUGAAAACGAAACGAAACUAUAUUUUCUCUUGAAGCAGAUCGAAGUGGAAACAAUAUUCUAAUCUCUAUCUUUAAAGGACCACCUUAGCCUUAAAAAAAUCGUGCGGCAUAUUGCCUCUCGUCCAUCCUUCUUGUUGAGGGCGAAUAUGGUUCCCCUUCAUUAUUAAUCCCCCCUCCUCCCCCCUUCCCUCAACAAGCAAUCACCAGCUUUAUGAAAUUACAAAAAAAAAAAAAAAAUACUCAUAAAUGAUAAGACCGUUGAACUCCCUUGGUGAUUUGAUCGCUUAAAAUGAGAAAAUCAUUGCCAUUUGGGAGGUGGGCAGCGUGCCGCAUCUCAUUCUCGUCUUUACAUCCUCCACGACCGAGGGGUGAGGAAAAGACAGCCUAUUAGGAAAUAUAGAAGGCAUUUGAUUUGGUACUUUAUGAGAGUGAGAGUGAGAGAGAAUCUUUGUUCUUUGUUUGAUUUACUUUAUUUCCAAAAUAUUUUUUAUUUUAAAGAAGUCUAGAUGUGACCUAUUUUCUCACUCGAUUAGUGGAAACCGACAAUAACCCAAUAUCUUGAUUCAAUAUUAAAGGCCUGUUUGAUAACCAUUCUUUUCCAAGAAUAAUUUCUACUUAGAAAUACACACACACACACACACACACAUAUAUAUAUAUAUAUAUAUAUAUAUAUAUAUAUUUUGUUUCCUGAAUAAGUUUAUGAGCAUUCAAAAGCGUUUAGUAAUUACACAAAAUUUUUAUUCUCAACUUAUGAAGUCAACUAAUAUAAAACUUGAUUCUCUCUCGGCAAUUCUCUCUUUCCCAAGAAAAACCCUCUCUCAAAGAAAUUUCACCUACAUGCUCUCCGCUUCAAUUUCUGUAGCUGAAAGCCUGCUUAGCUCUGCCUUUCUUUGCUAGGCGUUGAUUCCCUUUUUUUUCCCUCCCGAUUUAAUAUGGAGACUUUUUUUGCCUUGUUUGGCGUCUUCUUUGACUCGUUAUUGUUGCUUUUCUUGGUUCGUCGUGGUGAAUAAUUUUGCUUCUAACCAAAAAUUUUCCGAAAACGUUAUCGUCAAUUUAGCCAGUAGGAUGCCUAGGGCAUGGUUCUAUGACUUCUUUAAAAUUUGGUAGAAGCUCUCAUCUCCUGAUUUAGGUGAAGAUCUAAAUAUAGAAGCUUUUACUAUGGAUCUAGAAGUUUCUUAGAGGCAUUCGAUCGAUGGCGGGGUUUUGUCUCCAUAUGACAAUGGUACUGAGAACGCGGAACUUAAGGACACACUAUAAGUAGUAACUUUUAGAGGGAAAGAUUGAACACGCAACACGCAUAGUAUAAAGUUCAAGGGGGGGUUGUCUCCUCUUCAACACUUGUAUGACUUCCUCGCCUUCACCAACGAGGAUAAAAAUUCCUAGAGCUUUGAAGUCAAUCCACCUUCCUUUUGGCGAAUUCUGUAACCGAGAUGGGUGAACCCUCAUAGAUAUCAGGCGCCUUGCUCCACAAACCUCCUUUGUGAUAAAGUUUAAAAGUCUCACUUUUUCCGCCUCUGCUUCCUUCCCUAGAACUUGAACAGGCCUUCCUAUUCAAGCGCUUCUAGCUUAACUAAUCAUAAAUCAUAGAUUGGUCGCCCUUUACAGAAAAUGAGACGAACCCUUGGGCCAAGUAAUUGGGGAAGUAACUGAGGAUGAAGGAUCUCACCCCUUGCGCUCCUCUCAUGUGUUCGAGUGCGUACACUCCUACAUCUAUCGGUACUGUGGCUUGACACUCCUUUGACUCUGGUCUAGCUGUCUCCAUAUGACGAUGGUAUUAAGGAUGCUGAACUUAGGGGCGCAUUGUAAGUAGUAAUUUCUAGAGGAAAAGAUCUCAGCAUAUGCUUAUCACUAAUGAUUUUGGUGAUUGACAGUGGAUCGUUUUUCAAUAUUGUGACAGAUGUGAUAGACUUGAUCUUUUGGGAUGAGAGCAUGCUUAUAGCCAUAAACUAUACUCUUUUAUUUUAUGGGAAUUGUUUUGUUGUGUUUUGUAAUUCUUUUGAGAUUUAUUUUGCUUCGAAACUUCCUAUAUCGUGUUCUGUAGUAAUCUGAUCGUAUUUUGCUUUGCUAGUGGGGUUUCUUUGGCAGCUCAGGUAUGUGCAUGAAUGGGAGUUACGAGGGAUGGAGCCGAAUUGUCAAACCGACUUAACAUCGGUCAGACAAGUCGUGUCCGAAUUUUGCAUUUUUUAAUGAUUGUAAGGAUUUGCAGUGAUUUCAUCCCCCGGUAGUUUCGCCGUGCUGUGUAGAACGAAUUCGGCUUGCUGUGGGUUUAGAGUUGCUCUACAAUUUCGAAGUGCGACAUACAUGCUCGCCGUUCGAAGAAGAAACAAAUGAAAAAUAAUAAAACCAUUUCCUAUGCUUGACUGGAUGGCUCGUCAAAGAAAAUCGAGGAAGAUAUAUCAUUUGAAAGGAACUCUCUCCAAUCCCUCCAAGAUGAGAAAAAGGAUGGCAAGCGAUGACCGCACCGUCGUCCGGUUUCCUUAGAGAAUAUGGGAUUUGAGUGGGUUUUGUUGAAUCCCAUCGACUGGGAUUCGAUUAAUUUUUGUUUUUCAAAUUUACUAAGUUGUUUUUAAUUUGUCUUCAUCAAUAUUAAGUUAUUGAAUUAAACAAAAAUUUUCGUAUCCCGCCUCCAUGAAAUGCUUGCAAUCUUUUACUAAUUAAACUGAAUUGUUAAUUAAUAAACACUCUGGUGGCAUGUCGUUUUGGAAGUGAUACUAAACACUCGAAAAUGCACCGUCAGUUUGAAGCACUUACAGCGAUGCACAUAGCGGAAUACAAAUCACCUUCUCAAUUCAUUAAAAAAUAAGUAACUUACAAAUGAAAAAUUAACGAGAAAAUCACUUCAAUGAGGUCUAAUUCUAAAUAACUCUAAAUAGGACCAAAUGAAAAAAAUUGACAAACUUAAUCAAGAAAAAAGAUAUAGUAUCACUCCUCAAAUGAAUUUAAUAUCUAAGUAAUUAUUCAAAGUGUAAAAAUAGUUCACCUGCACUAAUUAGUUCUAUGGUUUCAUUUUCUUUUUGGAAGGAAGAAAUGGUGUCCAUAUUUAAAAACUUCCUAAAAACAGUAUCUGGUUGCCAAUUGCAUGUCCAUGGCACUUGGAGGUAAAAAAGGCACCUUCAUUCACAAGGAAUGACAGUGCCUUUAGCUUAGCAAGGUCAUGAAAGGAAUAAGCUGAGAUGACUGAAAAUAAAGGCUAAUUGUGCUUGCAUCAACCUAAUGAACUUUGUAGCAACGGAAAAUAUGGAAAAUUUCAAUUCGGUAGCUCACGUUAUAAAUGCCAAGACUCUUUCAUAUUUUGGAAUCUUCUCUUAGACGUGUCCUCAAAUUUCAAAGUUUCUAUGGAGUAAUAUAUUCAGAAGUGAAUGGUCAAUUGGUAGGCUGACAAAUGGGUACACAUAGCAUUGGUUGAUGAUGAAUUUCAAAUAUUGAUGUUAGCAAUUUCACUCGGAUCAUAUAUCAAUUAUGCCAGGGCGCCAGAAUAAGCUCCGAACAAAAUUAUAAGGAAGAAAUUUUCGAGACAAGAAUUAGAAACAUAUGAAGUAAACCUAGCCAAAUGACGUGAAUAAACCAUAUCAAAUUGGGUGCAAUCGCUGUGCGUAACUUCAACAGUGAUUUUAUUAUUUUUUUGGAAACCAAAAAAUAUAUAUUUAUUUCCACAAAAAUAUUUGUAUAAUAAUGUUAAAAAUAUUCUUUUUGCAACAUAUGGGCGAAUCUCUCCCCUGAAUUUCUCGCGCAAUGUGUUGUUUUUCUUUUCUUUCAAAAAUGUUUUUUACAACAAUGUUAAAAAUUAUCAAUAUUAGUGAUAACUGUACCAUACAAUAUAGCAAAUUCCGAACAAAAUUGGCCGAAUGAAUUCAAUUGACAGAAUGUGAAAAUGUUUGGGACUUAUUUGUCAAAAUUAAAAGAUUUAAAAUUGAAUUGGUCAAAGUGUAAUAAGUUUAGAUUUUUUUUUAUAAUUUUCCAUACUUGGUGACUGAUGGGCUCAUCUCUCCCGCAAACGUUGCGUGCAAUAUCCUGUCGAUAUAUUUCUAGCGGAAAUAUAUGAUUGCACCCAAUUAAAGGUGAAUGAAAUGCUAGGAGUUAAUAUACAUGAACAUUAUUCUUCCGAUCGGAUAAGAGUUUCUAAGGGAAUUAUUCAAACUUAGCCCUCGUGAUGGUUCGACCAGUGCUACAAGAUGUUCAUGGGGCGAGUAAACAUCGAAAACAUCCUCAAGAGAAACAAAAGGACCCCAAAAGUGAGCUUUGUGUUGACUUUACUUGUUGAUGGUGCAAAUCAACGCGAUUAUGUGAAAACACAUGCGAUGAUGUUUAGGAUCCAUUUGUUUCGCAAAUGAAUGAUUUGAAAAAUAUUAAUCUAAAAAAUAAGAGUUAAUACCUUAAAAAAAUUCCAAACUGGUACACGUGUGACAAAUUUACCAAAAAAUAAUUUUUUUAUAAUAAAAAAUUAAAAACUGCUAUAUAUGUGACAAAUUUAUUCCAGCUAACCAUAAAAAAUCCCAAACUGAUAUAAAUAUGACAUAUUUAGCCUAAAAUAAUUUAUUCAAUCGCAAAAAAUCUUAAAUUGAUAAUUUGUGAUAAAUAUACACUCCAUUAAAUUGAAUUAAUACUACGAAAAAAAAUUGUAUAAUUGUGACAAAUGAAAAGUAAAAUCAUAAAUUGGUACACUAGUCAACUAUCACGUGACAUUCAAUUUAGUAAUUUGACAGUAAAAUUUAAUGGAAACUAGUAUAUGAUAAAUUUGUCACAAGUAUACCAAUUUGCAGUAAAUUUAUCAAAGGUGUACCGGUUUAGAGUUUUUGAUGGUAAAAAACUUAGGCUCCGUUCGUUUCGCGGAAAAUAACUUCCAGGAAAAUAUUUUCCGAAAUUUCCGGUGUUUGGAUGGCAGAAAAUACACGGUCAACGGAAAAUAUUUUCCGGUCAACAGAAAAUUCCUCUUGAAAUCGCGGAAAAUGAUUUCCUCUUUUGAAAAGAGGAAAUCAUUUUCCGUACCUCUCACACGAGCUCUCGCACUCCUGCUACUUUUUCCUUCCUUCAUCAAUUCUCGUUCUCUCUCUCUCUCUUUCUUGCUCUCCCUGCUACAAUGGCUUCGACAACAUCCUUCUUUGGGAUCAGCCUCCGCCCUCCCCGACUGCUCCUGCCCACCUGCUCCAGUCGGGGCGCCGCCGCCGUCGCCGCGCUCCGCUUCCCCAGCGGCUCGAAGCCGCUCGGGAGGAUCCGGCUCAAGAGGGAGCACUGCGGCGGCGCCAGGAGGCUCGCGGGGAGCCCACCGUCCAGGCCGUGAGCCCUGAUCUCGUCGGAUCUGGCGGCGGAGCUCGCGGCUCGCCGGAUCUAGCGGCAGAGCUCGAGCUCCCGAUCCGGGCGAGCUCGAGCUCUGUCGCCAGAUCCAGCGUGCUCGGGUGAGAUCAGCCGAGCCUCGAGCUCGCUGGAUCUGGUGGCGGAGCUCGCGGCUCACCGGAUCUAGCAGCAGAGCUCGGGCUCCCGAUCCGAGCGAGCUCAAGCUCUGUCGCCAGAUCCGGCGAGCUCGAGUGAGAUCGGCCGAGCCUCGAGCUCGUCGGAUCUGGCCACCGGGUCUUGGUCGGCCGCUGGGCAGCUAGCCAUCGUCAGGCAGGAAGGAGGUGGCGGCGGUGGAAGGAGGAGGAAGAAGGAGGAGGAAGGAGGCGACGGCGGACGAAGGAGGAGGAAGAAGGUGACGGCGGACGAAGGAGGAGGAAGAAGGAGGAGGAAGGAGGAAGGAAAAGAAAAAGGAGGAGGAAGGAGGAAGGAAAAGAAAAAGAAAUAAUAAAUAAUAAAAAUUUCUAUUUUAAAAAAAUAUAUAUAUAUAUAUAUAUAUAAAUAAAAUAAUUUUUUUGGUCAAUUAAAAAUAUUAAAAUUCAAUUUUUGAUAAUUUUUUCCAAACAAUUAAAUGAGCUAACGAACAAUGGAAAAUAUUUUCCACUCAAAUUUUAGAUCUUGGCCGAACACCGGAAAAUAGAGUCAUUUUCUUGGAAAAUGACUUUCAGGAAAAUGUUUUCCGGAAACAUGAUAUUUUCCGUGAAACGAACGGAGCCUUAGUUUGUGAUAAAUUUGUCACAGAUGUACCAAUUUAGAAUUUUUCAGGGUACUAGCCCAAAAAAUAAUUAUUUGUAUCACUUGUUAUAUUUAAUAAAAGCAUUAAACUUCCUUGAUGUGAAUACGCUUAAUAAACUAAGUCACACGACACACAAUUAAAAUGUUGGGUCAUGACAUGACACAACGUGAUAACUUGUUUAGAAAUGUAUGUUAACGUGUAUAACGCAUUUAUAAAAAUAUAAGUAAUUUUACUUUACAUUUUAUUUAAAAUGAACGAUAGAAUUAAAUUUCAUUUUUAUGUUUAAUGAUUUUGUAUCCCUAUAUAUUUGUAUUAUUCCUUCUGACAUAUUGUUAUUUUUCAGAUUAAGGAUAAAAAAACAUUUUUUUGGUACUUACCAAAAAAAAAAACAUUUUUUUGGUCGUUUUAAAAAAAUGAAUAUGAAUACUAAAUGUGUUAAAACGUCUUUAAUUAUUAGUUAACAAUGACUAAACGGGUUAAGCAGAAUAAUUUGCAUGAGACAUGAUUUAUUAUAUGUACGCCAAAUUCUAACCUAUACAUUUACAUAUGGUGUCAUGUCAUGUAAAUGGAUUGCAUCGAAAAUUAUUGAUCUCUAUGAGGUAACAAAUGUCCAAGACAUAGGCCGAUUGAAUAUUCGCCAAAAAACAGUUCGAUCCCUCUUUUCGUUGUCCUACCUCGUUCGAUAGCGAGAAUCAUAGUUGAAUGUCAAUGAUGGGGAUCAUCAAAUUAGAUAUGUUUUUUCAAUUAGGGUAGUGAUGAGUUGUCUUCACUAGGAGUAGUCAGGAGGCUUUUGGAGGGGGACUGCCUAGAUCCCAUUCAUGGGCAAAAAAUCGUUUUCUGAAAGAGAUUGGGCACCGACCGGAGAGAUGGGAGUGGGACAAGUACAGAUGCCAAAAUGGGCUUUCCAUAAUCAGAAGUGACUUGUGGGAUAUCAGUAGAGGAGCUUGUUCCGAGUGCGCACCCCCUUCUUUUUUGGCCUGACCUCUAACUGUCAUGAAAGGACGUUGCGUGCGAAUGGCUUUAGUGCCGCUAGUGGUAUUCUUCGGGAGGAAGGAAUGGCAUUGACCGCUUCAGUUCAGCUGAGUUCGUGUUUCGGGGAUUUGGUAUCGAGUGGAUGACUAGGCCAUAAAUUUUCAGCUUUUACCACACAUUUGUCCGAGUACAUUCUUUGCAUCAGAUGCCUCGGCAUCUUCUCUAUAUAACGUACCGACCCACCCAAGCCUCCUUGUGGAGAAACGUUCUUUACAGUCUCCUAGUUCGAGCUUGGCUUUUCGUAUUGUACAGGUGGGUGCGAACUCUGCCAUGGCAAACCAGCAUCCAGACAACCAGGCCUUCGGUUUGUCCCUUGACAUCCCACGGCAAGGUAGCUCCAAAAGCUUGGACGACGAUGGCCGUGUCAAACGCACAGGUCCUCUUUCUUUUCCUUAUCUUGUCCAAUGUUCAAUCACAAUUAGAGGCGAUCAGUUUUCGAUUUCAAUGGUGGGGACCGUUUUCCAAAAUUGAAGAUAGAAGACCGGACCAGUUGAUCCUAAAAUCCGAAAUCGAACCGGAUUAAUGUUCCGAUCCAAUGAAACCGGUCAAAUUUUUAAAGAUUGAAGGGAGCAGUGUGGUCCUACUUUCAGGCUGUUUAAUUUUCCUUUCAAUCGCAUUUAUGUCACUUCUCACGAGUAUUUAUGGCAUUAACUUCUGUUCAGUCUCUCUCCCUCUCUCUCUUUCUCUUUCUAAGUCUUGUCCCUCCGUGUCCCAUCUCUCUCUCUCUCUCCCGUACGCAAACUUUCUUCCCCUACUCUUCCAGAAAAACCACUGUGACAAGUCCUCCUUUUAGAGAGACGACGAAGAGACUCUACUCCUCAAAUUCGCACCGAGCUUUGCUCUCGAGCCCUCAUGGAUCCUCGUGUCUGUGGUGUCUCCUCCCUCUUCUCUCCUACGCAUUGCCCCACCGGCCCCCUCCAACUCCACCGGGGGUCAGAUCAACUCCAACUCGGUACUCGUCGCCCUCCUCGCACCCACUACUCCAAGCUCGCCGAGAAGGCCCUCCUCCUCCAGACCCUGGAGGACGCCGUCGGCCGCCGUAGAGAGAGGGAAUGAGGCGUGAGAGCCGAGAGGGAACAGCGAACGUGAGAGGUCGCUGUUUUUUAAAAUUUUUUAAGGAAAAGUCACAUUGUUGCUUGUGGUGGGCUCGAAUGUAAACGAAUGCAGGGACGGUAUGGACAGCGAGUGCUCACAUAAUCACGGCAGUGAUCGGGUCCGGAGUCCUGUCCCUGGCUUGGGCCACCGCACAGCUUGGGUGGAUUGCCGGCCCCAUCGUCAUGUUUCUGUUCGCCUCUGUUACUUACUACACCUCCACUCUCCUUGCGGCCUGUUACCGCUCCGGCGACCCCAUCACCGGCAGGCGCAACUACACCUACAUGGAUGCCGUCAAUGCGAAUCUUGGUAUGUCACAUCUGUAUUUGUGUUCAUGUUCAUGUUCUAAUGGUAACGCCUGAGUCAUGUCCAGUCAUGUUGCGUUGGGUGAUGAAAUCUCCUCUUUGAUUAAAUUCUCCAGGUGGGUUCAAAGUCAAGCUUUGUGGGCUGGUUCAAUACCUGAACCUCUUUGGGGUUGCCAUCGGUUACACGAUGGCGUCUUCCUUUAGCAUGAUGUGGGUAUAUUUUCAAUGAAAAUUUUUGUGACUGCUAUUUCGCCAGCGUCCAAAGUAAUGCGAGUUUGAUUGAUUUUGUUGGCUUCUAUGGUCAUUGCAGGGCUAUCGAUAGGUCCAAUUGCUUCCACAAGAAAGGCGAGAAGAACCCGUGCCAUGCCAACGGCUAUCCUUACAUGAUUGCAUUCGGCAUCACUGAAAUCAUCUUCUCUCAGAUCCCCAGUUUCGAUCAGCUGUGGUGGCUGUCUAUCGUUGCAGCCAUCAUGUCCUUUACCUACUCCACCAUUGGGCUUGGCCUUGGUAUUGCCAAAGUUGCAGGUCCGUCUUGCUAAACUGCUCUGGUUAUUUUUCUACACCAUGUCCCUUGGUGAAAGAAGCUGGUCGAAGUACGAAGUUGUAAUUUGAAGUUCUGUUCUGGGUUUUUAAUCUUCAGAGACAGGGGAAAUCAGGGGAAGUCUGACCGGAAUUAGCGUUGGCAACGUGACCUCAAUGCAGAAGGUAUGGAGGAGCUUCAUGGCUCUUGGGGACAUCGCCUUUGCCAAUUCAUACUCCCUCAUCCUCAUUGAGAUUCAGGUAGAUAACUUAAUUUCCUCUCAAAUGCGUGACACGAGAAAAGAGUACUAGUGAUGGUUAAUAGGAUAAUGAAAUUGAAAUCAUUGCCAUUAUAAGUUUGGAUAUGUUUCAGGACACGGUCCGGUCCCCUCCAUCCGAAUCACAGACGAUGAAGAUGGCGAGUCUCGUCAGCAUAGCCAUCACAACCCUCUUCUACCUUCUCUGUGGGUGCAUGGGCUACGCCGCCUUCGGCGACAUGCCACCUGGAAACCUCCUUACGGGGUUCGGCUUCUACAACCCAUACUGGAUGGUUGACAUUGCCAACGCUGCAGUUGUGAUCCACCUCGCCAGCGCAUACCAAGUCUAUUGCCAACCCCUAUUCGCCUUUGUCGAGGACCGCGGUCAAGAAGUUCCCCAACAGCCGGUUCAUCACGAGGGAGAUCCAAAUUCCCAUCCCCGGGCUCAGCCCUUACAAGCUCAACCUCUUCCGGUUGGUCUGGAGGACGGCCUUCGUGAUCGUGACCACCAUGAUCUCCAUGCUCCUCCCAUUCUUCAUUCACAUUGUCAGGCUGCCAGGACCGCUGGGUUUUUGGCGCCUCGCGGUCUAUUUCCCGAUCGAGAUGUACAUUAAGCAGCAGAAAAUACCCAAGUGGAGCACCGAGUGGGUGUGCCUCCAGAUAUUAAAUGUGGCUUGCCAUAUCAUCGCAAUCGCUGCCGUUGCUGGCUCUGUCGCAGGAGUUGUGCUCAACCUCAAAUCCUACAAGCCAUAGCGAAGGCGAAAGGGAUUGUUUUUGUUCUCAUGUACGUUGCAACUUAAAUAAGACCAUACUCUCUUAAUGGCUAAGAGUUGCCUCGUGGGCGUGUGUGCCUUCCACAGGAAGCUGAAGAGUGUCCCACGACCGACGCCCCUGUCCACAUGUAGGUAGUAAGGCCCUGUGUUUGAUAAGAAAUAACUGAUUUUAUUAUGUUUUGGAUUCUGACGCCUAUUGAUUGAGAAAGCCAUAAAGUGUUUCGAGAAACUAAAGAAUAAUAUUUGUGGAGAUUCCUACAAUAUAGAAACUAAAGAAAAGACGAUUCGAGCAUUCACCUUUUUUUUUUUGUGGUCGGUUAGAGCAUUCACUUGUGCAGAGGAGAGUUUAUUCUUUCAUCUUAUCAACGGUCAAAAAGGUCCUUGGGAGAGAAGAAAACCAAAGCAAGGCUUUGCUUUAACUCUUGCAUCUGCCGUAGCCGAAUGUAUACGGAAAAAGGAGCUGCAAGUAGCCGAAUAUACGGAAAAGAGAAAGGCAGGCGUACUUCUCCUGGAAGAAUGAGAGCCGCGUCGCCCCGGAGAAAGACAUUCUCCUUGUUUUUCAGCCGUACAAGGAGAUUUUAAACACCCACUGAAGUUUUACAUUUUAUAAAUAUUUUGAAUUAACUUAAAUCAGAUAUGAAAAAUACUUAAGUAUGUGAAUGAUUAUACCUCCGAUUCUUUAAUUAUACUGAAUUAUUUCUUAUUAGCUUUCUCCGUACAUAUAAAUACCAAUACUUGAAUCAAAUCAUUGUGUCUUUUAUUAUUUCUAACUUAUUUAUGUGGUUUUCUCACAUUGACUUAUUUGCAAAAUCUUAUCAUUUCCGCAUUAAUAUAUUACAACAUUUUAGGAUAUACAUUUUCCUGUGAUGGAAGAACUACUCGGAAAAUGGUAUGAGCAAAAAGGAUUGACGGUGGAGCGGUCUACAUUGAUUGGCCUACUCAAGGAAUGGGUACCUCUUUAAUGGAAGUGGAGACAAAUUGAUAAAGUAUUGUCGUCUUAGGUGGGACAUUUGGGGCGCGUUUGGUUGUGUUUCUGUUUAAAAAUUGUUCCAGGGAACAGAAAUAGAAAAAAGUAUUUCUGUUCCGGGGAACAAUUUUUGAACAAAAAUACGCGUUUGGUAAACUUGUUCCGGGAAUAAAAAAUAAACAGAAACAUGUUUGGUAAAUUUGGGCGAGCCUCGGCCUCGCCGGGGGCCGGUGAGCCUCGCCGUGGCUGGGCGAGGCCGCCGGCCCUCGUCGGCCGGUCGCCGGUCUUUUGGCCGGCGACCGGCCGGCGAGGGCCGAGCUCGCCCAGCGGCGGGCGAGGCGCGGCCUCGCCGGCCUGAUUUGUGUUCCAGAAACAAGAAACACAAAAUUUGUGUUUCUUGUUUCUGUUUCUUUUUUGUUCUUGGGAACAAAAGAACAAAAAAGGAACAGAAACGCACCCAAACGCGUUUCUGUUCCUUUUUUGUUCCCAGGAACAAAAAAACAGAAAAAGUGUUUAAAAACACAAAAAAGAAAUACAAACAAACGGGGCCUUGGAUUCCUAGCUUUAUAGAUGCUUCUGUUGGCCUCUUUCAUGCGGGUGAAACAACUCUUACAUUAUGUAAAUUUCCUUCUUAACAGGAUGUCACCCUUUCAUAGGUCAUAAAUCUGUAGUUUCCUCAUUGGUUGUUCCAAUAGAGUCCUUAACAGUUAACUGUAGCAGUUGGGAUGGAACUGUCAGGCAAAGGUGCCUAUUCUUGGGCAUCUCGUCGUGGUGCUGGACUGAUGAAAUGGAUGAACUGUAGUCUGUCUAAAGAUUUCUUGUUUCAUUUGAUUUCCAAAAAACCAAAAAUAAAUCACCGGUGAAGUUACCCGGGGCAAUUGCACGUAAUUUGACAUGGCUUAUCCCAUCAUUUGGUUAGGUCUUCUUUGGAUAUUUCUAAUUAUUGUCUUGGAAAUUUCUUCCUUCUAAUUCUGUUCCGAGAUUAUUUUGAAGCCCAUGACAUUGUUGAUGGAUUCGCAUUCAUGGUCCGAAUGAAAUUGCUAUUGUUCAUUUUCUGAAAUUUAUCAUCAAUGAACCAAUUGAUCAUGACUAUUUUGAAAAUUACUAUAAAGAAACUUAAAAUUUGGAGACACGUCUAAUGGAAGAUUCCAAAAUAUCCAGGAGUCUUAAUGUUAAUAAUGUAAAACACUUAAUUGGGAUUCCAUUCUCUAUUGCAACAAAUUUCAUUAAAUUGAUGUGAUAGGAGAAUAUUUCAAAGUAAUAAGGCUUGAGUUCACAAUUAACAUUUAGCGAUCGUUUUCUCGUCUACAUUUUUCUUAUUCUUACAAUGUAAAAAUAUUAUAUGGGAGAACUCAUUAAUUACAUCAUCCGCAUGAUUAUUGAUCGAAUACAUAUUCCCUAGUAAUCUGAUCGUGCGGUGCUUUGCUUGUGGCCCGUGGGUUUUUUUUUUUUUUUUUUCAGCUCAUUUAGGUGCGUGAAAGCGAGCUACAGCUAAGAAGCUGAAUUGUCAAACCGACUUGACAUCGGUCGGACAAGUCGUGUACGAAUUUCGCAUUUUUUAAAGAUGGAAGUAACGAUAUUCUUUUCUUUUUUUUUGGUGUCAAAAGAGGAACGAUAUUCCACGAGUCCGACUUUUGCUCGUGGAAAACCCAUUUUGACAUUAUGUACUUGUCCCACUCCCAUCAUCCCUCCAGUCGGGGUCCACUCUCUUUCGAGAAACGAUUUUUUGCCCAUCUUAUAAGAGGCCAUAAAUUCGGCUCACGUGGUGAGGGGACAUCUUAUCAUUUAGUUAAAUAUAAAAAUAUAUAUUCUUUCCGCAUUUUGUUAUGAACACGGAAGCUCCUAACAACGAGAAAAUAUUGGAUGGUCCGGGACCUCCACGCCAGCGUGGUCCCCGGCCACUCACGAGGUGCCAUGUGGAGGGGUGGGCCCCACUUGGUGUCCUCUUCGCUUUUUCUCUUGCUCCUCGACGUAGCGCUCCUCUCUCUCCUCUCUCUCUCUCCCAAAUAACUCUCGGCUGAUGGCUCGGCUCGGCUCGGUUGGCAGAAGAAAGUACGGGUCAAUCGAUAAUGAAUGCGCAACACUCCCGCUUAAAAUUUCUCUCUCCUCACUUGAAUAUUUUCUGGGCUCUCUCUCCACGCGGACGAGCUGCACUUCCUCUGUUUCCUUCUCAGCGUAUCCCAUCCCCUCCGCCUCCGCCUCCCAAAAAGCCUCGCUGGUCCGUCGCCUCCUCCAAGAGCCCCGCCAAUCGCAGCUGGUUCCCGACCCCCUUCGCCUCCGACGGUUUCCAACGCCGAGAUUGAGCGUAAGGUUUGUGCUCGCCUUGGUCUCUAGGCAACUUCUGGGCCUCCGUCCGAUUGCCUCCCUCCGGCGAACUCGUCAUCAACUCCGACUCCGAGCCGCCGUCGCCGCCGCCGAUGGCAUCCUCCGUCUCUGGCAUCUACUCGUUCUCCCCCUCCCUCAGGCCGAAGACAUCGCCAGCCUCCGCCGCGAAGUCGUCGGCCUUCGGCAGGAGGGAGGUGGCCUCGGUCUCGUUCCCGAGCGGUGCCGCCGUCGACCGGGUGCUGUCCCUGUCCGACGACCUCCCUCUCUCUCUCCACCCUCCCCCUUUCCGAUUGGCGAACCACCGCGAGCAGCAGACGAACCAGGAAGCGAACCUAAUAUUUUCUCCCUUCUCCGACGCUCGAUGCCCUCUCUGCACUCUACCCCGACGCUCGACGGCCGAUUUCGCUCGCCUCUCCCACGACCUCCACGCUUUUGGCGGUUCUUCCCUCACGGUUCGGUGAGGUCUCGGGUAUGCCCUCGUGCUGCGUCUCUUCUUCCUUGCUCAGCAACACCGUACUGCCUCUCUCUCUCUCUGAGCGUGUCUCUCUGUGCAUUCUUUCAUCCAUGAGGCAAGCAUUUCGACUAGGGUUCAGGGGUUCAAGUUUUUCUAUUUGAUGCUUGCAAGGGAGAUUAUUGAGCAGGGAAGUGAAUAUUACUGAUGGAAAAUCAUGAGGUCUUGAGAAUUUGCCUUCAACAAAGAGCAAUUUGUUUAUGAAAAUGAAAUUUUUUGCAUCACGCUUUUUCUCAAAAUGAUAAUGAAACCUGUAAGUCCUUUUUUGUAUUUCUAUGGUUGUUUCUGAGGCUUGUAAAUUGUUAUUGUAAAGCAUGUGGGAAGAGUACACGGAAUGACUGGGUUGAAGGACUAGCUCCCUACCUACUGUUGCAGUUCAGAGGCAUUCUGAUUUGUUACCGCAAGUGCAUUUGACCCCAAUGAAUUGUCAUAUUUUGACCAAGAAUGUUGGAGUCUGUAUAGAUAUUCUGAUGUUUUAAUCUAGUUAAUUGAUAUAAUAAUAUGCUUGUAGUAGGGUUAGUCCAUUUGCUUUGUGUAUAUUCGAAUGAAAUGCUUCUCAUCUUAAAUAAAGAUCACAGCCAAUGAUCAGUUAAGUUGCUUAUGAGAUAUAAUUAGCAUCUCAAGUGAUGUUGGAUGAAUAAUAAAAUCGGCAUGAGUUGCACUUUGUAUGUCAGAAACGCAAAAGUACUACCUUCUCUCUAUAUUAAUUUGUGUAAGGUGGAUACCGUGCCUUCUGGUUUUCUCCUACAUUUGGCUUUUUUGGAUUAUUAUUUUUGAGGUUAUUACUAGUAUUUUUUUUGUGCAGAUAAAGCCCCUUUCAGUUACAUAUGGCUUGGGCAUAUCAGAUCAUGAUUCUGAGGGACGGCUGUCACUGCAUAGUUUGAUUCAUUCUAUCUCUUGAGCGGUUACGUUCCUAAUUCUGGUGAUGGCCUGAGAAGACUGGUAUCAAUCUAUUUCAUUGGUUUAUUCUGUUACACACUUUCAAGUAUGAUUCAUUAAUUCUGUUGCUUAUUUAUGUCAGAUGUAUAGGAUUUCACAGUGGGAUCCAUCUCUUGGUAACUACAUAAAGUAUGUUCAGCACUAUGUAGCCCUUUUGUUUUUUGAUAAAGCUAUUUAGACUUUUGUUCAGGAGUCAUUAUUCACCAUAUCAUGGAUCAAUUCUACAACCUAUGAAGGUUUUCCGAUAGACUACUAUUUUUAUUCUGUUGCAAUAUUGUUUCAUCUCUUAGUCAAAUUUGUGCUUGCUGUUGGCCAUACAGGAACUUGAAAAGUUGAAGCCUGUGAUUUUGACUGGCGAUCUGAAUUGUGCCCAUCAGGAAAUAGACAUUUAUGAUCCUGCGGUAAGGGAAACAAUCAAUGUGCCUUUUCUGCCUUUGAUUGACUAGGUGCAUUAAUAAUUUGCAUGAGCUUUUUAACUGUCACAGGACAAUGUCCUGGCCACACCAUAUGCCCCCCACCCCACUUAAAAGAGGGGAAAAACCCCAAAACAGAGGACUGUAAUCAGGCUUUUCCUCCAUACAACUGAAUUUUGUUUUGGGUUUUUGUUGGGGGGGUGUUUGGGGUUUUGUGUUGGGGGUUGAUAAAAAUCACAAUUUAGGCUGUUUGGCAUCCCGAAACAGAAGUUCUUAAUAUGUCUAAUGUUUCUUAUUUCCGUCAUUAAUCUGAUUGUCAUGAGACUCCAAGGAAAUAAAAGAAGUGCUGGAUUUACAAUUGAAGAAAGGGAAUCUUUUGAGACCAACUUCCUGUUGAGGGGCUUUGUUGAUACCUUUAGAAGACAGUAUCCUCAUGCUGUUGGUUAUACUUAUUGGGGUUAUCAGCAUGGUGGGAGGAAGACAAAUAAAGGUAUACAUAGAUCUACUUGAUGGAACAUUAUAUAUCUAAUGUUACACUUCUCUCCUGUAAUGGUGAUAAUAUGAGCAAUGAAAAGCUUUUGUUUUUUGUUGAGUCAUUAUGCAUAUCGUUGUCUUAUCAGAUGAAGCAUAUGGAAAUAGGUAUUAUCACCUGUUAACUAUCCUCUUGCAAUCUACAGGGUGGCGGCUCGAUUAUUUUCUUGUUUCAGAAUCUAUAGCAGACAAAGUUCAUGACUCGUACAUCCUUCCUGAUAUCACCGAUAGUGAUCAUAGUCCUAUUGGCCUGAUUCUCCAGCUUUAGUUCUGUCAUCUCUUUUGGGAUCUUGGUGAAUGGACUGCAAAGGUAGUCCGGCAGCAUCAUCCUAGAUGCUGUUUGCUGAAAAGUAUUGAGCUUUUAUUGUCAUUGUCAUUCAUGUUGAAGCCACUAGCAAGGGAAAGUUUUUUUUGAUGAAAUUUGCUUAGCAAAAGGGGGCAAAGAAAAGAAGGAAGAGAUGAAGGGGCUUACUGUAUUUACUUUGUCUGGGCCCUGUGGAGUGAUCUGGGUUUUUCUAGAUUAUUUUACAAGGCAUCUUUUGGAGGAAGAGUGAUGGAACAUUGAAAUCACUUUCGAAAAAAUCUGUGCAAGUUUUUGAACAUACAUUCUGAUGCCGAAGCCAGCAAGGGGAAAAAUGCUGAAAUGCUGAAAUGCUGAGUGCAAGUUGUAGGUACAACUGUUCUGGUUCGCAAUUCAAUCUGAUUAUCUGGUGGAUGUUUUUUUUUUAAUUUAAAAGUUAGUCUGGAAAGACAGUUGUCUACAACCGUCUGCUGCUCAGUCUUUUAAGGAGUAAGGCUGGGCGUACAAUGAUUUAUCAUGGAUCCUUGCUUGCGUCUUGUUGUUAGAGAACCUCAAAGGAGCACGUAUCAGCAAUGUCAUUUUUGGCUCUUGAAUUUUGUACAUGAACGUGGUAGACCUGAAGAUGAUGAUGUUCACAUAAUUAGGUGUGAAAAUGUCGGCAAUGUUUUAGACAAAUGUAAUUAGCAAGUUUCAUUAUUUUAUGGAAUCCUCCAGCUGCUCAAGUGUAUUACUGUUUGCUUGAUUCCUUGACAACUACGAAGGCUCCUGGAAUUUGUCUUUGCAUGAUAAGGGAAAUUUGCUUGGAAUUGUUAUGUUGGUUAUACCAGGAAGUCCCAGCAAACUUCACAAAGGCUAGGAUAAAGCCUGAACUGCUAAUUAUUAUCAUCGUCUAUCGACAUGUUUUUGCCAUCUUUAAACUUUUAUCUAUAUCAAUGAACUGCAAUUGCUUCUUCAUAAAUCCUGAACUGCUUAUUAUUGCUUCUUUCUUAGUUAUUCAUGCUCAUAACAUGAACUUAUCAUGCCCACUGACUUCAUAAACCAAGUGAGAAGACAGAGGCUGAAGCUCAAAGGAACAGUAACAUCAAGAAAUGAAUCUACCUCGUGCGUUUAAUUAGCACGCCUGUUCCUCACACCAAAUCAAACAUUGGGAUGUCAACAUGUAAACUUAAUUACAUCAUUCCGAAUUCUGUGAACACACGUCUUAUACAUACUCAUCGAACUUUGAGCGAUGUUUGGUGGAAUUAGAAUUACUUAUUGCCGACAGUUAGAAUUACUAAAGAUCGUGAACCAACAAAGAAACUCGACUACCCGGACAAACUGGUAACUUCAUAUGCCUAGUUCAUGACAAUAGUCUUGAUCUCGAGUAGUUUACACGCGUGUGAUGGGAAUUUGAUUGGACUACCUUCAAUUUUUUAGCUAAAAUCUAUCAGUGCCCCCAGUCAAAAUGCCUACCGAAGGGUCACUUUCUUUUUUCCCAACUUAUGGUUUUGUCAACAAAAUAAAUUUCAGGCGUAGAUACAUGUAUGACAAAGGAACAAUUGUCUUGUUUUUAACAUAAAAAUAAACUUCAAGGGCUAAAACUUUGGGAUGAAGAACCAACGCAGAGAAAUAAAUUAAUAGAGCAAAUUGGGAAAAGCUGCUUUACUAUGGAGGCAUGUCAUUUGAGAGUCUCAUCUGGAUAUGAGCUCCAAUCAGAGGUUCUAUAUUACCGUCCAAAACAGAAUACAGGUCAGGCAUUUCAACACCACUUCUUACAUCUUUCACAUGCUUGCGAGGGUAAAGAACAUAUCUUCGGACCUUGUCUCGCCAUACAUCGAACACAUUUUCUUUCUUGAAGCCAUUUAUGCUUGGAACUCCUACAUCUCUGGCUGCGAUAAGAAGUUUAGCCUUCAACCAGUUGAGGGCCUUAAUCUUAUUUGCAAAAAUGCUCCUUUCACCUGGGAUAAAAAUUUUGAGAUCUUAUUUCUCAAUCACAAAAUGUCGUACUAGACAGGCAAUCAUGAACGUGUGUUGAGGAACAGGCAUUUGCUUCUUUGUAAAGUCAAAACCAGAUUGCGGAAACCAUUGGUAAACAAAUUUGAGUUGGAAGGUCAACCCUAACAAAUAAGGGAAUAGACAACUCAUUACCCAAAGAUUGGACGACAAAACCAGUAGGAACAUGCUGAAUAACAACUCCAGACCAGCCUUCAAUGACUUUUACUUCAGGCGAUGACGAUGGGCACAAGAUUAGCAAAUCCUCCUCACUAAUUUUUAGGUCAGGGGCCGAAUCACGGAACAGAUGAAUUAUAUCGACAGCUGCUAGGCUAACCUGCAAAUUUUGAGUACUAAAAUGAGGAACUGACAGGAAUUUAGGGGCCAAUGAUGUAGCAGAACAGAAACACAUUACACAGAAAAGGCUUUUCUCGACCUUCAAUUCACUUGUAUAAGAAGCAGAUAUACUAUAAAAAGAAACAACUUGAAUGGUAGGAUCCCAUGAAAUGCAACAAUUCCCUUGGCUAUGUUUUUGAGUGAACUAAAUCAACCUUAAGCUCAUGUGCAAAAUUAAUCCACACACCAUUUGAAGUUGCAUAUCUUAUAUUUUUUAGCCAAUGUUAGACUCUAUGGUACAUGUAGACAUCUAGGUGCCACACAAAUAUCUAAGUGUGUAAUUAAGAUAAGAUCAAGAAAGAAUUUACCCAAAUAUAUACAAUAAGGUGCCAUGAGUACGAGUUCAUAUUUAGCUGCUUUGAUUUCAAGAAAGAGCCACAGAAACAAUCAAUCUUUCAAUUCCAAUGUGUUUUUCCUUGCACACGGUCAUUUACAUGUUGUCAUGUCUUUAAUACACUUUAAAUUGUUUCUUGAUAUUAAUGAUGCACUAACAAGAUGCCACUUUUGCCUUCUGAAUCUCCGGAAAGAGAAGAAACAAAUCAUUCAGAGCUCAUUGUUAAAAAGAAGUCAAAAACCAAUAGCAAUAUACAAAAGUCAAUGUUUCAUCAAAACAAAAAUGAUAAUUGUAAACCUACCUCAUCAAUUGUUGAUCCAGUUUCUGAACCACUUAUUAUUCGAUGAACACCCCUCUCCCCUUGAAGACAACCAUAUGCAUAAUCAAAUUCAAAUUCAACUGUUGCAGAAGUGAUUCCACCAUUUGUUGCCCGACGCUUCUCUACAAUCCUCCCUCAAUAACCUUGCUUCUCAGCCCAUUUUUGGUACAUUCUCAGUAGUUUUUCAGCCCAUAACUGGAUUAGCAAAUGCAUGAGAGACAGAGAGAUUGGAACCAGCAGAGGCUUAAGCCCAAAAGAUUUUUUUUUUUUUUUGGGUCAACAAAACUGAGUGAACUUCAUUGAAUUAGCUAAUGGAAAAGGAAUAUAUCCCCAUUAUAGAUGAAUAUUACAGUCCGCUAUUUUCCAGGAUUUCAUCUUUCAUAUGCAAAUAGAUUGGCAACUUAUCAUUCCCUGUCCUAGUUCAUACUGAUGUCAAAAUGAAGUAUCCUCAUAACAGAAGUAUCCUCAUAGUGGAGAAUAAUAUCGAACCACUAUCCAUACUGAUCAAAUUCUCACUUUUCUUUUUUCUCAUUAUUCUUUUGAUAGCCACCACAUUAUCACUUAAUGUUUACUUCUGAGUUGGAAUUCAGGGGAGGGACAUGCAAAAUACCUCCCACAGGAAGAAGGAUACUAGACAAUAAAUUAAAUAUCCACUAAACCCUGGAGAAAUCCCACAAUUGAUUUUCAAGACAUCUAAGUCAUCAAGCAAAGAGAUUCGUAAAUAAGAAGUAACUGAAGUGGUGAUGCGCACAAGCAUACAUAUAUACUAACAAGAUUCCACUAAUAAUGUCCCACCCUUAUAUGUACAUAUAUAUGCAGUUUUUUCAUUCUCAAGUUCUUUGAAACUCCUAUAUUUUGGCGUGAGUAUUAUAAAGAAGCAGGAACCAUAGACUCUGCAUCCAUUCUACAUCAAUGUAUAUUACAAUGGAAGAGUGUGAUAUAAACAUCAUCUCUUUGCACAUGCAUAAUUAUUCUAGAAAUGAAGUUAGAUUAUCAAACCUCAUGGUAAUUGCCAUUGGAUUCAGCUUUGAUGACCAUCGACGCUCCAUUCACAUCAUAUGGUCCCUUAAGAAGCUUUAACAUCUCAUAACAGUCCAAAAACUUACUCAUAUCCAAAGACGAAGUGUAUGCCUGCUCAAAAAGAGCAUAAUUAAUAGCAUCCAUCUCCACCAGUUGAGUUAUCAGCUUUGCUUCUUCCGCCUGCAAAUUUCAGCAGAUAAAAGUCAACUAAAGCUAGCAAUUGCACUUCCUUUAAUUGAUACAGUUAAACUAGAUAUGACAGUCAUUGACACAUUAAGAAUCAAGUUAAUCUCGGAAGAAGAGUCAAGACAAGCUUAUAAUGGGCAAACCAUUGACCCAACAAUUGCCCAACUUAAUCCACACCUACUGGGUGGAAAAGCUUAUUCUGUGAGAUGAAUAUGGCAUUCCACACCACCUUGUAAGUUAAAUCCCUCAGGGCAUCGACUGCUCUGGCCAUGUCUGCCAACUUCACAAGAACAUCAUAGGAUUUAGCAGGAUCAUCCCAAAGGUCGUAAUCUCGAAUCAGUCCAUCAAGCUUAAUCCAUUUAGCUUCUUCAAUUUGCAGUGCAGUAGGAGCCAUCUUCUCAGUGCGUUGAACUGCAUCUUCAAUCUUCCUUUUUAGUGAAAACAACCCUGGAGAAAAAGAAAUGCAAAUUUUACAUAAAAGCCGAACUGCAAAGAUUUUUACCCCACCAACAUCCCAGAAACACUUUUGCUUACAUUUCUCAGAAUUCGUGUCAGAUUGUACAAGAAAAUUAAACUUGACUUCAAGUCCUCUUACAGGAGUCACAUUUUGCAAAACUCAUCUAUUUCCAACAUGUUUGACAUAACUUCCUUGCAACGGCAACCAUAGAUAUCAAAUGAACCCCUGGUUCGAAAUUCCGAAGAGCAAACUCCGAAACCAAGCAUAUUUGGAACACCGAGGAACAAGAAAUGAAGAAUCUUUCCACUAGGGUGAUAACUUAAAAAGCAAGAACCACUCACACAUGGGAGUUCACCUAAUGUGAAGCAAGAGGCCUCAUGAGAAAGAUUCAGGCCCAAAAGAUACUUACUGACUUCAAAUUUUACACGAAAGACAUGAUUGUAUGACCAAUAAAAUCCGGAAAAGUUCACUCUUUCUUUUUCAUUUACCACAAACCGGUCUAGAUUUCUUCGCAAGCAGUCUAAAACAACAUGUCAAAGAACUUCUCAAAAAAGCAAGAACCACCUAUCAUCUUGUGCAUUUGCAAAUGAACCGAGCACUCCAUCUUAAUCUGACCAAAAGAACUACCCACAUGAAAGCAUUCAAGAAAGACAACAUAAUGGAAUUAGGCGAGGGAGACGGACUGAGUUCUCUGUAGACCUUGCUUUUGCCGUCGACAGAGCUACAAGCCCGGACCAUACAGCGCAAGACCGUGGACUUGUGCGGCUGUGGAGCCCGCCAUCUUGACCCGAACGAAGCAGAUUCUCAAGACCUUGCUCUUUGUUGAAGGCAAAUUCUCAAGACCUCAUGGUUUUCCAUCAGUAAUAUUCACUUCCCUGCUCAAUAAUCUCCCUUGCAAGCAUCAAAUAGAAAAACUUGAACCCCUGAACCCUAGUCGAAAUGCUUGCCUCAUGGAUGAAAGAAUGCACAGAGAGACACGCUCAGAGAGAGAGAGAGGCAGUACGGUGUUGCUGAGCAAGGAAGAAGAGACGCAGCACGAGGGCAUACCCGAGACCUCACCGAACCGUGAGGGAAGAACCGCCAAAAGCGUGGAGGUCGUGGGAGAGGCGAGCGAAAUCGGCCGUCGAGCGUCGGGGUAGAGUGCAGAGAGGGCAUCGAGCGUCGGAGAAGGGAGAAAAUAUUAGGUUCGCUUCCUGGUUCGUCUGCUGCUCGCGGUGGUUCGCCAAUCGGAAAGGGGGAGGGUGGAGAGAGAGAGGGAGGUCGUCGGACAGGGACAGCACCCGGUCGACGGCGGCACCGCUCGGGAACGAGACCGAGGCCACCUCCCUCCUGCCGAAGGCCGACGACUUCGCGGCGGAGGCUGGCGAUGUCUUCGGCCUGAGGGAGGGGGAGAACGAGUAGAUGCCAGAGACGGAGGAUGCCAUCGGCGGCGGCGACGGCGGCUCGGAGUCGGAGUUGAUGACGAGUUCGCCGGAGGGAGGCAAUCGGACGGAGGCCCAGAAGUUGCCUAGAGACCAAGGCGAGCACAAACCUUACGCUCAAUCUCGGCGUUGGAAACCGUCGGAGGCGAAGGGGGUCGGGAACCAGCUGCGAUUGGCGGGGCUCUUGGAGGAGGCGACGGACCAGCGAGGCUUUUUGGGAGGCGGAGGCGGAGGGGAUGGGAUACGUUGAGAAGGAAACAGAGGAAGUGCAGCUCGUCCGCGUGGAGAGAGAGCCCAGAAAAUAUUCAAGUGAGGAGAGAGAAAUUUUAAGCGGGAGUGUUGCGCAUUUAUUAUCGAUUGACCCGUACUUUCUUCUGCCAACCGAGCCGAGCCGAGCCAUCAGCCGAGAGUUAUUUGGGAGAGAGAGAGAGGAGAGAGAGGAGCGCUACGUCGAGGAGCAAGAGAAAAAGCGAAGAGGACACCAAGUGGGGCCCACCCCUCCACAUGGCACCUCGUGAGUGGCCGGGGACCACGCUGGCGUGGAGGUCCCGGACCACCCAAUAUUUUCUCCCUAACAACUCCAUCGUUGUUAUUGCUCCGACUUAUAUUUCCAAAAAAAUUGAAUUUUAUUUGCAAAAUCCCUUUGUUUAAUCUGAAAAAAAGGUAUUUUUUCCUUCUUCUUUUUUACGGCCAGGAGUGUAAAUAGGUCAUCCCUAAUUAAUGGAUUCAUGGUAAAUUCCCUUCUAGUGGAUUCCAUCCAUAGACGCAAAAGCUUAUCGCAAUAUAUAGAAGCAACGGUUACUUAUUUCUUAGGUAUCUAAUAAUUCUACAAAUAUUAUCUGUUGAGAGUGCAGAUUAUACAUUUAGUCAUCUCCAUACAUUUUAAUUUGUGCUAAACGAUACAUGAGCAAGCCUCACUAGAAGGGGAAGGGACUUAUUUAUAUUUACAGCCUUCAUGUAAAAAUCAAGGGCAAAUUAAAAGUUUUAUCCGAUAAGUGUAGUCAUUUUUCUUUUACCCUUCAUUACAACAUAUUUCGUACAUUAAUAUCCGGAGAAAAAGAAUAUUAGAAAAACUAUGGCGGCUAGAAGUAAAAUCUUCAAAAGGGAAGUGUUGAUCAUUCCUUCUUAACCUCUCAACAUACCUGAGUGUUUUCAUCUAUGCAGUAGUCUCCUAAUGAAGAGCUCUAUCAGACUGUAUUUCUUAUUUUACAUGUCAGUGUUCACACAUAUCACACCCUUUGUUAGUAGGUGAAUAUUUUUCAUUCUCACCAAUCAAAGAAUAUGGGAGGUGACAUGAUGGGGUUUUUCACCAUAGGACGGAUCUUCUAUUUGUUUCUUCUCCCUUGAACAUUCUAAGGUCCUGCUCAGGUCCAUUCUUCCAAUAAUCAAAGUUAUUUUUCUUUUACCCUACAUUAUAACACAUUUCGUGCAUUUGUAUCCGGAGGAAAAUCAACGCUGAGUGGGCAUAUUUUGGGAGAAUGCUUAUGGAAAGAUGCAAAGCACCUACAGGUUUUCAACGUGUAGAGUGCUUUAAAAAGAAGUAAAACGUUACAUUUUUUUUAAACUACAGUAAACCGUUACAUUAGUUGGCUCAUUAUAUCACCGACGAGAUAAUAGAAUUAAUUAAUGCUGUUAUCACAUGUAAACAAAAUAUUUGUCGUUCUCCAAAAAUUUAAUGGCCACAGUACAUAGUCUCAAUAUAUUCAUCCGUUCUCUGAUACAGCAUGUUAUAACAUGCCGAAUUCAAUGGUGGCUACACAUAUGAACUCUAGGAACCAUGAACGAAAUUACGUAACUAAGGGUUGACUAAUAAGAAUACCAAAUUCAAAUUCUUGCUUGUCAGAGUGGACACAAAACAAGAGGGAUGACAGCGUGAAAAUCAAUUACUUUGGCUGUAUUUAAUUCAACAUUUGAGAAAAGCUUUUGAGUAGAUGCUAGCGUAAAUUUUUUUCAUGAAGAACGAAAAACUGUUCAAUUUUCUUCUGGCUCUUAUGCAUAACUAUUUCCAUCCUUUUGAUGAGAAUUAGUUUUUGACCUUGUCUCUACAACUAGGAGCAUCACGUUAUCGUCAAUUUAUGAUAAUCAAGCGACAAAUAUUAUUGACUUCUCUUUCCUUUCUUUUUUUGGCAUGCCAUUGCGAAAAUAGGUCAAAUAAAAGAAACGAAAAAGAGAGAUUCUCUCUCCUCAUAGACUUAACACUAGCCUCUCGUUUUCUCACUCCCCAAAAAUGCAAGGGGAGAAUAAAGGGAAUUGCGGCUCGGUAACCUGAUUCAUACCUUCUAAAUGGCACUUUGAUUCCCUUUUGAUUUCGUGUUCUUCGCUGUAAUUUCAAUUAAUCGAUGCAUUUUUCCUUUAAUUUCUUUUAAUCUCCAAUCGCUACACUUUACUACUCAAGCAGUUUAUCUUUCUUAUCAUUUUGGUCGAUUUAGCACCAUCCAUUUCACGCCCUGCUCUCCAACCUCACACGCCUUACACGUAUGUGCACCAUUCGAUCCAUCUUUGAAACCCUUAUUUGUGUGAUGUUCGAUCACUUCAUGGUUGAGCUAGAACCAGAGAACAAAUUUUAUGAUUUUAAAUUUUUUUUAAUCGCUCAAUCGUCAGACUUAGUUAGGUCAAUUUAGCACCGACGAAUAUGUAAAUGAUUAUGCUAUCAUGUAUAAUAAAAUUAUCAACAAUAAAAAUUUAAGGUUUAUUAAAAAUGUAAUUUCAUCAUUAUAUACAAAAUUCCAUCUUUAAUCAUAAAUAGCAGUAAUUGAGAUUAUUAAUAAUUAUUUCAGUUAUUCUAUUGUGAAGAAAACGUAUUUGAACAUGAAAUUUGUGAUAAUUGUAUAUUACAUUCAUUUAAGUUAUUAAAAGAAUUUCAACUAUUGUACUGUGAACAAUAUGAUAAUUAGUUUCAUACAAAGCGUAUAAUAAUAAUAAUAAUAAUAAUAAUAAUAAUAAUAAUAAUAAUAAUAAUAAUAAUAAUAAUAAUAAUAAUAAUAAUAAUAAUAAUAAUAAUAAUAAUAAUAAUAAUUAUUAUUAUUAUUAUUAUUAUUAUUAUUAUUAUUAUUAUUAUUAUUAUUAUUCAAAUAUUAUGGUUAAGAAUAAUACCAUAAUUGUUAGUGAUAUUAUGGAUGUUAGCAAUAUUAAAAUAUCUUUUAGACACAUUUGAGAUAUUUUCUUUGAUUUUUUAUAUUUAUUCUGAUUAUGCAUAUCUGAUUUGAUUUUCUUUAAUUUCCUCUAUCAAAGCUCGACUCUGAAAAUGAUAGAAAAAUUAGGAAAUUAAGUCGAAAACCAAAUAAAAGUCACUAAAUACUCAAAUUAGAAACAAUAAUCUAAUUCUAGGUGGUUAUUUAAUAGGAGAAACAUUAAUGAGUCAUGCUAAUUUCGGUUGACAAUUUUUAAAAAGAGCUAGUAAAUGUGAGGGAUUGCUAACCGAGACAAAUAAAAAUUAGUAACCUAGUAGAAAAGUUGGUAAAUCAGGAAAAAAAAAAACUAUUAAACAUUGGUAAGUAGGACAAAGGAGAGUUGACAAUCAAAAGUAAUUAGUAAUUUCGGUUGAUAAUUUUAUACUGGUAAAUUUCACUAAAAAUAUUGGAAAGUUACCAACGCAUUACCUGUAAAUAAGUCACCCGUAGUUUUUUCACAAAUGGUUUUUUGACACCUACCGAAACAUACCAGCAUAUAAAAAAUGCGUAUUUUUUUUUUUAUUGCACAGAGCCACAGAAUACUGCUGCUUUAGCUUUACACUUUUCCAUUGAAGACAAUAUAUUACAUUGUUUCCUCCCAAGCUAUAUAAAAGAAUGGAGCCGACUAUAUCUCCUAGAUAAAAACCUAACUAUUUCUAAACCUAAAAAUGACAAACUAUGUAUCAUUGUCCACACAUUCGAACUCGUUUUGUCAAUUGAAUGAUGAUUUCCAAACCUAAUUUAUGUACACAAACAUAGUCAUCCACGAUCCUCUACUUCGAUUCAACUCCACCAAACUAAUUUCAAAACCUAAACCCUAAGCCCAUUAUUUCCUCAGGAUAAGUACACUAAUGGUGCCAUAAGUUGUGUACGGCGCUCACUUUGGUGUCAAAACUUUCCACCGGAUCACUUAAGUGCCAAAAAUUUUGCAAAACGCUCACUUUGGUGCCAACUCCGAUCUGGUUGGCUGGAAAUCCGAUGUGGCAUUUUUUUUAUUUAUUAAUAUUUGAAGCCGACGUGGAUCGCCAGAGAAUACAAUCAGCAUGCAAACAACAAAAUGACGCCAUUUAGCGUCUUUUCCCCCAAAUAAAAAACCCUAAAUCCCCAAAUUCGAGUAGAAUCGGAAAUUGAAAACCCUAAAUCUCAAAUUCGACCAAUUGGAGUACAUACUUCGAUUUUCUCUCAAAGUUAUCAGCUCGUUCUUGCGAAUGGAGAGCGGAAGCUUUAGCAGCGGCUCACAUUCCUAUAAAAAAAAGCGAAUUAGAUGUUGAGUGUUACUGAUAUUGUGGGUUACCAAGUCCGAAAAGAACAUCUUGGACUCGGUUGAAUCCCGGGAGAAGAUUCCAUGGGUGCGGCAAAUAUAGAGAAGGCUCGAAGUGCAAAUAUUUCAAAUGGGUUGAUAGGAAAUUCUCUGAUCGAGCGACAAAGGUGAUCAUGGAGUUACUUGAAGGCCGAAAUCAACAUCCACCUGCGUUAAUGGACGAGUUGGAGAAUGUCGACUCAAUACAAGCUCAAAUGAAGGGUUUAACAUCUCUGGUCGACCAUUUGAAGAGGGAGGAUUCAAGGCUGAAAAUUGAAAGAAACUUUUAUCGAGCGUUGAUUAUGUUCUUAUUCUUGUGUAGUUUAUUCAAAUGUGAAGUUAAGUAAUAAGAAGAAGUUUGUGUGUCUACCAUAGUCGAAGUUUGUAUGUCUACCAUUUUUGUAUGAAGCAGAAGGUUUUGUUGUAAUCCAUGGUAGAAUGCAAGGUUGGAGUUGAAAUGCAUUAAUUGUGAACACUUCAGAAAUGCAAUGUUUGCUUGCUGCAUUUUUUAUUUGCCCUCCUGAUUUGCUGGUUUGUUGGUUUGCUGCAACUGCAAACCAUGGCGAAAUGGAAGGUUGGAGUUGGAAUGCAUUAGUUCUGAGCACUUUUUAUUGUUUAGUUGUGUAUUGACAAUGUUUGUUUUGAUUAGUUUUUGCUUCAAAUAGAAUGGUUGCUGCAUUUUUAUCGUUGUAAUGGUUUGCUGGUUUGCUGCAACUGCAAACCAUGGCAAAAUUAAGGGAUGGUGACAAAUUAACAAUUGACCAUUUCAGUGCCAAAAGUUGUAAAUAGUGAUCGCUUGAGUGUAAGUUUUUAUAAAAGUGAUCAUUUAAGUGCCAGUCGCGAUUACAAAGUGAUCACUUCUAUUGCACAAGUUGUAAAUAGCGAUCGCUUGAAUGCCAAUUUCAAACUUGCACCAGUCGUGGUGCAUCCUGCAUCUUGUUCUUGCACCAGUUAGCUUGCUGGUGCAUCUUUUUGCAACACAACAGCCCUACAACGAGAUGUAUCAGCACCCAAAACUGCAUCUUAUUCUAGCAUAUACAACCGGAACCCCACAAAUAGCAUCAACGUAUCAACUGUAUCCUAUUCCAGCACAUACAACCGGAACCCCACAGAUAGCAUCAACGCAUCAACGACUUCAACUAGAAACACUAUAUGCACAUAUUUAAAUCUAAAAAUAAUAGCAUCCUCAUAAGAAUAUUGCACCAAUAGCAAAAUAUACAGAAACAUCUAUUGUCAUUGAUAUUGAUUGAUUGUUUACAAAAGAAAAAAAUAACAUGAACUUCACUCUCCAAUCAUUGAAGGUUCAUCACCCUCUUAAAAAAAAACUAAUGGCAAUAUGGAGGCAGCAACUACCAUCAGUGAUAUAAUAUCCAACACCCUCCUAAAAAAAAAAACAUAAAAAGAUGCGACCAUGUCCAGCACUACAUAAAAAUAAACAUAAACUAUGUCCAACACCCUCCCAUCAGCAGCACCACAUAAAAAGAGACCAAGUCCGACACCCUUUCAUCAGUCAAUAUGGACAACAUCCUGAUCUCCUUUUCGUCUUGGGGCUUUGAAUUGAUUCAUAAUCCGAGCACUCUUUCAAACUAGAUGUGCAGGUUCUUUAACUGGGCGUUCUAUCACCUCAUUUUCCUUGUUUUUUACGGUGGCUAUUCUUGUUCUAGCACGUGUCAUGUGUUGAUCCAUAUCAUCACUAUCGUGCCCAAUCAUUGGUUGAGAUGGAACUGGUGAUGAGUUAUGUUUGGAUGGCUGUUUUGCAGCUAUUCCCACUAUCUUCUUCUUUGGAGCACUUUUCUUUGGUUGUGCCCUUGAUUCUUGAGUUGGCCUACCUUGAAAGAGAAGUACAUUCGAAGUUCUCCCAGGCUAUAAGAAUAUAGUGAUAUUGUCAACCAAAUAAAUUGAAGUACAAUAAAUUGAAUGCAUAAAGCCUACAAAUCUUACAUUCAAAAUAGUCAUUCCAAUUCGUUCAUCUGUGUGAAUCUCAUAACCAUAUUAUCUUAAUCUUUUUCCAAUAGCCCCUCUUGUUCGCUGUGGUGCAUCAUUUUCAGCAACAACAGAUGAGGGAGCAGCCUCUGCAACUUGUGCAAUUGCUCGUCUUCUCACCUGAAAAACACAUAACAAAUUAAAAUUCAGCUCAUAAAAGACAAACACGGCGAUGUACAACUUACAUGAACUUUUUUUCUUCUCGUUUGCUCAACGGUGGACUCAGUUGUUGUUGAUGUCCUACCUAUUUCAGUCUCUGUCCCUAUACUUGAGCCUACAACAUGGCAUUUUUCUGGCCCUUUAGAAAGCCUUACAACAAUGUACUAUAUCAAGAUCAUGACCAACUAUAAUAAAUAAUGAGACAUCUACUCAUUUUCAUGGUGGAAACAAAUGGAGAGAACUUAUCAAAUUACAAGUGCAUGAUAGAGGAAAAGUACAAGAGAAGCCAGUACACAUUGUCAACCAUCAAACUCUAUCGAAUAGGAAAUGUGAAGUUACUAAGGUAAAGAUGAUACUUAUCUUACAGUAGGGCUUUCUGUUUGCCCUUCGGUAGGCACUACUGCAGGGCCUUCUAUCCUACCUUCACUAGGCCCAACAAGAAGCUCUUCAAUAGGGCAUUCUAUCCUACUUUCAACCAUUACAUCUUGCUAUUGAUGCUGCCUUUUCAGCUCACAACAUUUUUUAUUGUGUCCUUCCUUGCGGCAAUAUAAGCAUUUCAUCUUUGAGCCAGUCCUACUCAUCUUCUGACUUGAUGUCUCUUCCUGCUGCAUUUUUUUUUUUUUUGCCUUCCAAUUUCCUUUUUCAGCGGCAAAGGUGGAGGGCUUUCAUGAUUUGUUGGCUUCCAAAAUUUGCUACUUCUGAUAGGCUGCAUCAUGAAUUUGUAUGAAACAUGGUAUGAGCUUUUUUUGUACUAAUUAUAUAGGUAAUUAUCUGGGUUUUCUUGCUUAAUCUGAAUAACAUAAAUUGCAUGGGCACAGGAAAUUCCAUUCAGUUGCCAGACUUGGCAUGAACACUUUAUUCUAUCCAGGUUAACAACAUACUUAUCCUGAUUUUGAAUAAUCUCAUAUUUAUUAUCUCCAUUCCAAAAUGGAUGGAAGAACCUACUAACAGCAAUGUUUGCAUCCAAUCUCUUCAUAAUCCUAAGGCCACAGUCUCUAGUCCAUUUCGUAGCCUCAUCUCUUUGCCUAUGCAGUCUAGUCAUCACCAUCACUCAAAUAUUAUCAAGCAUGCUGAUGAUUGGUUUGCACCUGGUCUCUAAAAUUCUGCCAUUGAAAGCUUCACUGAGGUUGUUAUCAAUGAUAUUGCAUUUAAACUCUUUGCUAAAAAAGGCCUGACACUAGUGCUUAGCUUCUGUCUGGAAGAGUGUAUUAAAACCUUCCUUUGUCAGCUGCAACAAUCCUUGUUUGGCUAAUUUGAAAUCAGCCAUGUUGGUACUCUUUGCUAUCUGCUAGAACUGCUUCUGGAGCUUAUCUCCUUUGAAGUUCCUUGACUAGUUUGCAUAUAUAUGCCUCGCGCACAUUCUAUGUUCAGCAUGUGGCAUCAACUCAGCCAAUGCAGGAAUAAGUCCCUACAAAAAUUCAAACCAAUAAAUACAAGUCAGGAAAAAUAUGCAAAUGAUUAAUAUUAAAAUGGAGUGAAUUAAUUGAUAAUGAAAUUACAUUCUAUUGGUCGCUCAUGAAUGCCCAUCCUCCCCCAUCGGUUAUCUCAAGGUCAGCCAUUAAAUUUUUCAGAAACCAGGACCAAAUAUCCUUGUUCUCUAUCUUCACCACCGCCUAAGCUAUCGAAAACAUGUGAUUAUUGGCAUCUCUCCCAACAGCAACCAACAACUCCCCCUUACACAAACCCUUUAGAAAACAUCCAUCCAAUCUAUCAAAUAUGCUAGAACUGCUUCUACAACCAGCCAAGAAACCUUGUUUGCAUGCAUCAAAACAUACAUAAAAUCUAUUAAAUCUAGGCCUAAGAUCAGGGAGUGGCCUCUCCACAACCUCUACAUACACCCUACAGCCAAGAAACAUGCAUUCGCCAGCAUAGUCCCAUACCUGCGCAUAUUCUUCCUUAUACCCCACCCAUCAGUAUUUUCAUCACCCUCAUCUUAGCUCUCUUGCAUUGAUUUCUCGACACAUUAACCCCUACUUGCUCUUUCACUAACUGUUAAAAUUAAGGACUCUUGAUCACGGGCAUUGCUUCGAUAGUGUUGAAAAAAAUGUUUCGAUAACCACACACUCGUUAUCCUUUUAUUGUUAAAAAUAAUUGGACAAGUAUGUUACUCCUGCAAAGAUCUAAUCUAGAAUGACCCAUUCUUAUUUAGUGCACCAUAGAGCUUUCAUGGACAAUUGGGUUGUGAGCACUUAGCUCUCACAAAUUCCUUCGUGUUUCUAAUAAAUUUAACACUCCUCUGUUCACCAAUGGAGUUCUUCACAACAGCUUCCUUGAACUGUUUGGCAUCGUCAUGCCUACAGACAAAAUAUGUUUAUUAACAGUCGGAUCAUAGUAAGGGUACUUACUUUUUAUUUGACGAGCAAGUUCUUCAUCAUCAUUGUCAAGCUCAUUCUCCGAACCAGCAACUUCAUCGCCGUAGCUUUCUUCAUCUUCACUUCUAUUACCUUCUGCUGGAAUUCCAUCCCCAUUUACUGGCUCGGGCCUCUUUGCUGAAGGUGCAAGUUUUUUUCUCAAAAAUUCCCUUUGCUUUUGUCGUGAUUGUGCGAGUUCAUCAUCAUCUUCAUCACUUGGGAAAUUUAUUGAAGCAAAAUAUUCAUCUUUUGAUUCACUAGAUAAAGCAAUUUCUCAUUCUAAUCCAAUGAAGUCCUCAUUGCCCAAAUCUUUACCCAAGCUUUCAGAACAUGUCACUGUUUGUUCAUCUUUAUCAAUGUGAGUUCUCUCCCUUUCAUCCCUGACCUGCUUACUUGCUUGAAUAGGAUUCCUCACUUCUUCUCUUUCAGUAGUGGUCUGCUCAUCCCCAUCCUCAUCCUCAUCCUCACCAUCCUCAUCAUCAUCCUCAUCCUCACUAUCACUAUAAUAUUCAACAUAUACCUUAGCUUCUUCGCCGUAAAGAUAAUAGUAAAUGAUAUUCUUAAUACCAUUAUGGUCAUUAAAAAAUCUCAACCCAUCAUUCAAUUCCUUCCCAGGAACACAGUAAUAUAGUUUUUGCAUUUUGCAUCGUAAAAAAUAUACCAAAUCCUUCAAAAAAUUAAUAAAUGACGGCUUCCGAAUAUUGACAUAAAUAGUACAUUCAUUUCCACUAGUAUAUUCCGAAUCAUCGGUGCUAAUAAGAAACUCUCCACCAUAGCAAACAAUGAUGCUUACCUGAUUCACGUCCAUGUCGAUACUGCACCCAAUGAAAAAAAAAAAAAACAAAUGUCAUUACUUGUUGGGACCACAUGACAGAAUUAACAACUUCACAUGGAGGUCUUUAUCAUUUUGUUGUCAAGAAACAAAUGCAACUAAUCUUCCCAAUUCAGUGCUUUUACAAAAACAAAAGAAACUGAAUUGAAUAAACAAAGUGAGGUCCCACCACCCAUUUUUCAAUUCAAUCACAUUCGGUCCCCCUGUUUCCCCCACAAAAGCAGUCCAAUUAAUUAAAUAAAUUCGGUCCCACCAUUGUUUCCCCCCCAAGUCGAGCCCCAUUUUCCCCUCCGCGCCCUAUUUUUCUAAUCAGUCCCACAAAAGAAAGGGAACGAAUGACAAAACCCUCAAAUUUUCUAUUUAGUCCCCACGACUUUCCCCAUGACUUUUCCCCUGAGCCGAGCCCUCAAUUUUCCCUCCAUGCCCUAACUUGCCCAUCGGAACCCUAAAUUUUUCAGUAGAUUGAUCCACGUAUAGAACAUGACAAACCUAAGUGAGUGAGAGUUGAGGACGUAGCCAGUGAACGACGGCGCAACUACAGCAGUGGCCGAGCGACAGCGGGCAAGUGAACGACGGUGGGUCAUCGAGCUACAGUUGGCGGCGUCGAGCGAGAACCCUAUACGAACACCGUUUUUGGCCCACGUCGUUUUUUACUAUAUUGAAUCCACUAUACGACGACCAUUUUGUAGGUAAUCCACAUGGAAUGGUAAAACGACGUCGUUUCUUACGAAGAAAAGGAAACAACGUCGUUUUAUGCCAUCCAUCGUGGACAAUAUUAAGAGCUGUCGAUUUUUUUUUUUUUAAAUAUAAAUGCCACGUAAUCAUUUUGGCCGGAAUUUCUCACCGGUGACACCAAAGUGAUCGUUUUUUCUCCGAUUUGGCACUUAAGUGAUCCGACGGAAACUUUUGGCACUAAAGUGAGCGUUGUACUCAACUUAUGGCACCAUUAGUGUACUUAUCCCUUAUUUCCUCUAAAGCAUGAUACCUUAAGAUGCGAAAUGUUUCGUGAUGGAUUUAUGGGAAAAGAUAAUAUAUAAAAAUUUCCAGAAAGCAAACCAUUGGCUUGAUGGAUUGUUGGUGAACUUCUUUUUUAGAAUUUUUUAAUAUUUUUAAUAUAAGAACGCGCUUGAUAACUACAAAAAAUUUCUAUUCCGGGAAUAGAAAUGUAUUUGGUAAACUUGUAUAAUUUUGUUGUUUUUUAAAAUUUUUCAAUGUUUUUAUUAUUUUUUUCUUUUUUCUUCUUUUUUCCUUCUUCCUCCUUUGUGGCUGGUCGCCGGCCACGACGGCGAUUGGCGAUCGACUGGGCGAGGUCCGGCAAGCUCACUAGAGCCUCGCUAGAUCUAGGUGAGGUCGAGCCUCGCCAGUGGCCUCGGUGGCCAGGCGAGCCUCACCAAGCCACCGGCAAGGCUCGAGCUCGCCCAAGCGGCGCGAGCUCAGCCUUGCCUUGGUUGGGCGAGCUCGAGCUUGCCCAGCCACUGGCGAGGCUUGGCGUCGCUGGCCAUGGCCGAGGCCGGCAAUCGGCUAAAAGGAAGAAUAAUGAAAGAAAAUAGAGGAAGAAAAAAGAAGAGAGAGAAAAAUUAUUUCUCAAAAUUGUUCUCAAGAAGAAGAAGCUACUUUUUUCUACUUCUUAUUUUUAUUCCAAAUCUGUUCCCGGGAAUAAAAAAAUUUUCAAACAUGUUUCUGUUCUUUUUUUAUUCCUUGGUACAAAAGAAUAGGAAUUUUUGUUUUGGGGAACAUAAACUCUUUUUAACAAACAGGCCCUUAGUCACCAAGUAUGGAAAAUUGUAAAAAAAGUUCUAAACCUAUUAAAUUUUGACCAAUUCAAUUCUAAAUUUUUCAAUUUUGUCAAUUAAGUCCCAAACAUUUUCACAUUUGUCAAUUGAAUUCAUCCAGCCAAUUUUGCUCGGCAUUUGAUAAUGUGAGCGAUAGCUGUCUUGUAUGGUAAGGUCAGCACUAAUGUUGAUAAUUUUUAAUAUUAUCAUAAAAAAAAUAUUUUUGAAAGAAAAGAAAAACAACAUAUUACACAAGAAAUUCAGGGGAGAGAUCCACCCAUCUAUUGCAAAAAGAAUAUUUUUAACAUUAUUAUACAAAUAUUUUUUUGGAAACAAAUAUUUUUUUGGUUUCCAAAAAAAUAAUAAAAUCACUCUUGAAGUUACGUGGAGCGAUUGCACCCAAUUUGAUAUGGCUUAUUCAUGUCAUUUGGCUAGGUUUACUUCAUAUGUUUCUAAUUCUUGUCUCAAAAAUUUCUUCCAGAAAUUCAUUUUCCAGGAAAAUGUAAUUAUUUUCUAGUAUUCGGAUGAAACCUAAAAAUGAAGUGGAAAAUAUUUUUCGCUAUUUGGUAAGGAAAAUCUUUGUUUUCCAUCUCCUUCUUUCUUGGCCAGUCGCCGUCCAUGGUGAUGGCCAAUGACCGGCCACUAGUGAGCCUCGAGCUUGCAGAUGAGCACAAGGCUUGCCGCUCUCCAGAUUAGCGAGCGCAAGUGUCGAGCUCGAGGCUCACUAAAUCAACAAGCGUGAGCUCGAGAUCAAUGAGCUCGAGGUUUGCCGACGAUCGAUGACUAGCCAAAAAAAAAUAAGAUGGGAAACAAAGAAAAGAAAAAGAAAAAAACAGAAAAUUAAAAAUAAUUUGAAUUACAAUAGAAAAAGAAAUUAAAAAAAUAAUUCGAAUAAAAAAAGAAAAGAAGAAGAAGAAAGGGGAGGAAGUGAGGAUUUGUAGAAGUGUGAGAUAAGGGAGACUAAGUGAGGAAAAUGUUUUUCACUUUUCAAAAAUGAAAAACAUUUUCCCAAAAUUUAGAAAACUUUUUUCCUUUUAUGGAAAAUAUUUUCCCUAAGGAAUUCAUUUUCCAUGAAAUGAACGCCAGAAAAUCUGGAAAACGUUUUCCCGAAAUUUAUUUUCCGCGAAACGAACAGAAUGAAUCUCUAUUCUUUGUUCGAUUUACUUUCUUUACAAUUUUUUUUUUAGAAAAGUCUAGAUGUGACCUAUUUUGUCACUCGGUGAUUAGAAACCAACAAUAACCCAAUAUUUUGAUUUGACUCGGUAAUCACUCUGUUCUUCAAAACAAUUUCUGCUUAGAAAUAUAUUUUUUUUUAUUCUAUUCUCUGAACAAGUUUCUGAACAUUCGAAGAUGUUUGGUGAAUGCAUAAAAUUUUUAUUCUCAAAAUUGAUUAGCUAAUGUUACUAAACUGAUUUUUUGUUUUGGUGAACAAAAAAACAAAAAAAGUUAAAUCCUAAAAGUAUAUCGAUUUUUUCCCCUAUAACUGAAUACUUUUAUUAGUAUAUAUUGCAUAUUUGAUUACAUCCAUAAAUCGAUUUUCUUCCCUAUGAGUUUUAGUAAUUGUACGUGAAUCCUAACAAUUAUAUAGGUUUGAAUUUGGCAUAAACAUAGAAGAGUUGGUGUGCCUAACCGCUUAGACAUCAAGUCGAUGCAUUUAAGUUAUCGUGUUAACGAAUCAAAUGUUUUAAUAUGAAAUAAUCAAAUAUGUUUUAACACAUUAAAUUUCAUAUUCAAAGGCUUUUUUUAUCCUUAAACCUCAUAACCAUAUGUCAAAAAGAAUAAAUAGUAAAAUAUAAUGAUAAGUGCACUAAAAAUCUAAAAACUUGUUAAAAAAGUAUAUUUGAGUCUUAAAACUUGUUAGAUUUGUGCAAUCAAGUUCUUCCAUGAAUAUCGUCAAUUUGUCUAAUAGAAAAUGUUGAUGUGGUAUUUUUCAAUUAAUUUUUCUCUCCCACGUGGCAUAUUGAAGAAGUUUUAAUGCACUUAUUAGAUAUGUCACGUGCAAAUUAGACAUAUUCAUGUCAGUUGUGUGUGUCGUAUGACUCGCUUUAUUAAGCGGGUUCUAACCGUGGAAGUUUUAACGCGUUUAUUAAAUAUGUCAUGAUUGGGUUCGGCAUAUUCGCGUCAUACCCCCAUUUCGACUUUAACAUUGAAGUAACUUCAGGCUUCUGGCACGCUAGUGCGGCAUCGUCGCGGCAUCGUCGCCCUUUCCAUCCUUGCUUCUAUAGCAAGAGUGUUCAACUUUUUCUUUUCUUUUUUUAUAGAUAAGAAAUAUGACUCUUGAAAAAAUAUAUUUGAGGUGUCUCCUGCCGCACCGAGGGGUCCCUGCCUAAUCAAUUAACAAGGAAACUUCUAAGUAUUCUAUGGAAAGAAAAGGCUUCGGAUCUUAAAUGUUGUCGCACGUAUUUUCGCAUUCACGACCUUUGUAAUCGUGUUGAUUGCACCAUCAAAAAGUAAAGUCAAUACAAAGCUCCCUUUUGGGCUCCUUUUGUUUCUUUCGAGGAUGUUUUCCAAGUUUACGCUCCCUAUCAACGGGAAAGAGUAGCCGGAAUUCCUAUAGAGACACGACUCGCGUGGAAUGAUCUUGAAAAUUCAAACUAGUUUAAGGCUCGUUACCUCUGAAAUCUAGCUGAUCUCACAUGCCGGGAUGUCUAUCAAGCUUAUUUAAAUGAAGCUCGAAGCCCACCCCUGCUUCAUUCGAUAUGAAAAUGCUAUUCCUAAACAUAAAUGUCUCGUACAUAAAUUGUGAUCUUGAUCCUUAUCAAUUUUACUGCGUUACAAAAAAAUUUAUGCUAUGAUAAUUUCCUCGAGAGUACGAUAGUUGAAUUAGAGGACUUAACAUAGAUAUAGGUGGAAAGAAGGAAUGCACCGCUCAGUUUUAUCGGCUCGGAGAACUCUUAUGCGGUUACUUGGAUUUGAAUGAUAUGAGGACGCUUUGACCCCUGUUCAAAGCUUUAACGCUUUUGAAUAAUAGCAUAUCUUCGAUACCUAUCUAAGUUAAUUUCAUGAAAGAUUUAUAAACAUUCGUCAGGAUGGUCAGCAUAACUUGCGAGAGAGAACGGAAAAAAUACAUACUAACUGUUAGCAAGGUCCUACCAACAAACUCAAGCUUAUAAUUAGAACGAGACUGCGUAAAUAUGAAAUAGCUAUAGUAACUUUCUAGUGAAGAUAGAAUAGAAUGUUACCGGACGAUGACAUGAUGCAGUGAUUCAAUUCGAUUUAAGUUAAUUUAAUUAUCAUCUUUAUAAAUCUACAGUUGUUUAAUGGGUAUACCCUGGAAAAUUCCAAAUUGAUAUAUAUGUAAUAAAUUUAUCACAAACUAAUUUUUUGACCAUAAAAAACCCCAAACUAAGACAUCUUAGACAGAUUUACCCCAAAUUGAUACAAAUGAGACAAAUUUAUCUUUUGUUGGUGUCCGUUAAAUUUUAAUAUCAAAUUGCUAAGUUUAAUAACACGUAAUAUUUGACUAGUAAACUAGUUUUGGAUUUGAUUCUUUUUUAUGUCACAAUUAUAUAAUUUUUGUGAGUUUUUGUGGAAUUAAUCCAAUUUAAUUGAUGAUAUAUUUGUUAUAAAUGUACUAUUUUGGGGGUUUUUGGUAAAUUUAUCAUAAGUAUACCAAUUUUGAGUUUUUUUUUUUAAUAUUUAUCACAAGUGUAUCAAUUUGAGAUUUUUCAUGAUUAAAAAAAUAAUUUAAGAUAAAUUUAUCAUACGUGUAUCAGUUUAGAUUUUUCAAGGUAUUAAUACAUAUUUAAUUGGACGUGGCACGCGCUUGUCGGUGUAAAGCAGCCACACCCAUUUUAUAGCGAGAUUCUCCCAUGUUUAAUUUGACGUGGGAUGCACAGGUAGGUGUAAAAGAGCCGCACCCAUUUCAUGGCGAGAUUCUUCCGGGCGGUCCAAUUGAAGAUAUUCAAAUUGAACAAGGGACGAAGGCUUUUUAGGAUUGGAAUCCGUUGCCCACGCGCAUGUCGGCAGGGCGAGAUGGAAAUAAGAUACCUCGCGUGCACAUUCAUAAGUUCCGGUUGCGUGUGGGCAACGGACGGCGGGAGAUGGCUUUAGAAUCGGAAUCCGAAAAUUUCCAAUCACCAGCAGAAAAUAGGAGGUUGGAAAUAGAGCAGCACCUCCGGAGUCCGUGCUCCUGCUUUAGACAAAAAGAGAAAAUAGUUAACAUCAUAAAAAUCAUAAAAUUGAUAAAAAAAAAGAUUUUAAAUUAAUAUAUCUAUAAUAAAUUUAUCAUCCGUUAGUUUACAUUAAACUUUACUAUAAUUCGAUAACACAUAACAAUUGACAGGCAUAUCGUGAUUUUUUAUGAUAAAAUUAACAUAGGGUAUAUUUAUUAUAAAUAUAUUAAUUUUGGAUUUUUUAAUAGAUAAAAAAUUAAUUUAUGUUAAAUUUUUCAUGGAUGUAUUAAUUUAUAAUUUUUUGUAAUAAAAAAAUUGUCGCAAAUAUGAGAAAUAAAUAAAUAUACAAAAAAGUUAAAAUGAACAGAGGAUGCGGACAGUGCAAUUGAUAUGAGUUCUCUUCCUCGUCACAAAGGUCGAGGGUUUGAAUCUUUUUGUUGCUAAGGUGUCUGAAGCAAGGGGUCCUGAUAUUGGAAUCCUAGGCUAGCCUCUCUCGAGGUUUACGUCUCGGUCAAAAAUAAAAAAAACUACGUGCUAUUGAAUUGACCUUUGCUCCAUAAAAUUAACUUAAAAAAUGGCGCCGUCAUUGUCAUAUACGGCAAGGCAUACGGGGCACUCCAACGACUCCAUGACUUUAUAUAAUAGAGUUGGAAAUAAGAAUGCGGAAGAAAUAUUGAGAAAUUUUAGUCUAUUUUGAUAUAUUAAAAGACUUUUAUCUGUGUGUCUAUAUAUAUAUAUAUAUAAACAAUGCCUUAAAUUUACCAACUUUUCAAAGAAAUUAUCAGCCUUGAUUUAAGUGAAUUACUAUGUUUUAUCUGAUUAUCUUACCAACUAAUCUGGGUUAGCAAAUUAUCACUUAAGCUGGUUAUCAAAUCUAUUUUUCUUUAGUUACUAAGUUUUCUUAUCGUUGUCAAAUUUGAUUUAUCUUUUCUAAUUGCACUUGAAAUUUAUCAACUCUUAUAUAAAAAAAAAAUUAAUUUAAAUGAUUUAUCAACUUGUCAAUGAUUAGUUAUUAAUUAAUAUUGAAUUACCAACUUUCAUUUGAUUUUUUAAUUACUUCUUUAUUCUAUUUUCCAAUGAGUUUUUGUUUAAUUGGUAAGCAAUUCAAAUGAAACUUAGUAAAUAAAAACUAGUUCGUGACCUAGUGGGAGAGAAAAUGGUAACUCAAACAAAAAAGAGGUUGAAAAAUUCGGGAGAAUUACCAAAAAAAAGUCAUAAACCUAUUACAAUUGUACCAAGUCAAUCAUGAACUUAUAUUCUUAGUCAAUUGAGUUUUAAAAUUUUUACAAUUGUGCCAAUUUAGUCCAUUCUGCCUAAUUUGGCUAGUCAGCAUUGACGUGAAUGUUUGCCGAUGCUAACGUGGACAAUUUUGUCAAUAAUAUUUUAUUUUUUUGAAUUCUUCUUAUUAAUUCUUUGUUUUUCUUUCUCUCUCUUUUUCCUCCUUCCUUCUUCUUCCUCUGGCCAGUCACCGAACUGAGGCAACCUCAUCAGCCAGUGGUGAGGCUCACCUCGUUGUGACUGGGCAAGAGCAAGCUCGCCUAGCCAAUGGUAAGCAAUUCCUUGUUGGAUUUGGCGACGGCAAUUCAAGCCUCGCUACUAGCCGACGAGGUCGCCUCAAUUCGACAACUGGCCCUCGCCUCUAGCCAAUUGCCUCUGUUCAGCGAAUGGCUAGAGGAAAAAGAAGGAAAGAGGAAAUGAAAAAGGGAAAAAAUUUAUAAAAUAAAAUAAAUAAAAAAUUUAUAAAAUAAAAUUAAUAAAAAAUUUGAAAAAAAUAUUAUCAAAAAUUAUUCACAUUAGCAUUUGCCAGUGUCGGCUAACAUCAACAUCGACGCCGACCAGCCAAAUUUGGCUUGAUGGAUUGAAUAGGCAUAAUUGCAAGAAGUUUAGGACUUAAUUGGCCAAAAAAAUAAAUUUAGAACUAAAUUAGCACAACUAUAAUAAGUUUAAGACUUAUUUGGUAAUUUUCCCUAAAAAUUCACAUAAGAGUUGAUAAAUGUGAGACACAUGUAAGAGAGAAAAAUAGAAGUUAGUAAAUAAUAGAAAAAAAAAGGUUGAUAAAUUAAACAAAAUAAACACUAGUAAGUACCUCAAAUAAGAGUUAGUACCCUAAAACUAGUUAAACAAUUUAUUGAAAAAGAGUUGUUAAGUCACUCAUAUAAAGAUUAGUGAGUUUAUAUAGAAGUUGGUAAGUUUAAGGCGUUAAUAAGAAAGACAAAUGAAAGUUAAUUAAAGAUAAGAAAUUUCAUAAAUUGCAAAUUGUUAAAAUGAUUAAUAAUUUCAUAAAGCUCUUGAUAAUAACCAACAAGAUUAUUGGAUAAUGAGGCAAUCGGUAACUUUUCCUUAUCAACAGUUUUUUUUAGACUUUUACUGACUGCUUGAGAAAUCUAUCGGCAUGGAGAAAAUUUGUUUUUCAUAGCGGAGCGGUAAAAUCUUCUGGCGGAAGCAAUGAGCAUAAUAGAAGUGUGUUGUCAUCUGACAUAAAUUUGGUCACACAAAUCUCGAAUUAAUUUUGCAAAUAAACCCAGUCUAUUAUAAGGUAGAGUUUCUUGUGAUCUAAGCAAAUACUCGGGGUCAUAGAUCUACCAAUGAACUCAACAACCUGGUGAUGUCUCAUCUUUGUUUUAAUUCCUGUGAAUGAAUCUAAUACCAUGAAGUCAGAAUUGCUUUGGUACAACCUCAAGUCGAGCUCUCUCUCCCUCCCUCCCAAUUCCCAUUAUUUGUAGCCACAUCCUCUCGAGCUCUCUCUCUCCCCCCAAUUCCCGUCAUUUGUAGCCACAUCCUCUCGAGCUCUCUCUCUCUCCCCCCAAUUCCCAUUAUUUGUAGCCACAUUCUCUCAAUUUAAUUUGUAUCUGCCAUUAUAUAAAUGGAUCCAGUGUGAAAGUCAUCUCAUCUGAUGGUGCAUAUGAAUUGGGCUCACAUAUACUUGGUGCAGCAAAGAAUUUGUCCAUUCUCCAUCACUAUAAAGUUCAUAACACGAUACGUCUUUGAGAAAAUUCACGAAGAAAAGGAGAUAAGUCCACAAUGAGCAUUUUGCAGUCCUUUUCUCAUGCAUCUUUCCUUAUUCCUUUUCGGCUUGAUCCCAUCCCUUUUUCCUCAUCUUCGAGCGAUUAGAGGGAAUUUCUUUCCAAGGACAUAUAUCUUCGUCGAUUUUCUUAGACAAGCUAUCCGAUCUAAACCAUCAAAAGUGGUUCCAAUUCCUCUUGCUUGUUUCUUCUUCGAGCAGAAAGCAUAAAUGUCAUACACUCAGAUAAGGACGUAGCAAGUAUCAUCCCACGUCCAAAAGAUAAAAAGCAACUUUUGCCUCAAGCGGCCUCGCUUUGCGACAGAUGGGCUGAUCUCUCCCCCGAAUUUCGAGUGCAAUAUGUUGUUUUUCUUUUCUUUUCUUUUUUCAAAAAUAUUUUUAUAAUAAUAUUAAAGAUUAUUCCAUAACGGAGGGAACUCACGUUAGGAAAUUUUAAUCAAAAUUGAGCGAAUGGACUCAAUUGAUAAAAUGUGAAAAAUGUUUAAAACUCAAUUGACAAAAUUUUAAAAAAAAUUGACUAAAUUGGUUAAAUUGCAAUAAAUUUCGAAUUUUUUGAACAAUUUUUCAUACAUGGUAAUUGAUGGGCUGAUCUCGCCCCUAAACGUUGCGUGCAAUAUGUUGUUUUUCUUUUCUUCCGAAAUAUAUUUCUAGCGGAAAUAUAUGAUUACACCUAAUUAAAGGUGAACGAAAUGGUAGGAGUUGAUAUAUGUGAACAUUAUUCUUCCCAUCAGAUAAGAGUUUCUAGGGGAAUCAUUCAAACUUAGCCUCCGCGAUGGUUCGACCAGUGCUACAAGAUGUUUACGGGGAGCGUAAACAUGGAAAACAUAUCCGAAAGAAACAAAAGGACCCCAAAAGUGCGCUUUGUAUUGACUUGAUGAUGGUGCUGUGAAAACACGUUCGACAAUGUUUAUGAUUCGUUUGUUUCACAAAAAAUGAAUGAUUUGAAAAAUAUUUAUCUAAAAAAUAAUCGCUCGUAUCGUUUAGCACAUCUAAUAAAAGCGUUAAAGUUCAUUGAUGUGAAUACACUUAAUAAAACAAGCCACAUGACACACGAUUAAAAUGUCGGGUCUUGACAUGACACAAUGUAUGUGAUAACUUGUUUAAAAAGGUAUGUUUAUGCGUAUAACACAUUUUUAAAAAUAUGAGUAAUUUUACUUUACAUUUUAUUUAAAAUGAACGAUGGAAUUAAAUUUCAUUUUUGUGUUAAUGAUUUUUGUAUCCCUAGACACAUGUUUUAUUCUUUCUGACAUAUUGUUAAUUUUUUAUCUUUUAAUGAUAAAAAAUUGAAUGUGAGUACUAAAUGUGUUCAAACGUGUUUAAUUAUGAUGUUUUGAAACAAAUGAUUUGUUAAUACAUGUACUUGACGACUAAACAGGUUAAGCAAAACAAUUUAUAUAGGACAUGAUUUAUCAUGUGUAUGCCAAAAUCAAACCUAUACAUUUGUAUGUGUUGUUAUGUCACAUAAAUAGAUUGUAUCAUGAAUUAACGAGCUCACAUAUGAGGUAAUGAAUGUCCAAAACAUAAGCCGAUCAAAAAUUCACUCAAAAGAUAGUUCGAUCCCGUUUAUCAUUGUCCUACCACGUUUGAUUGAGAGAGUCAUAGUUGAAUGUCGAUGAUGGGGUUCAACAAAUUAGAUAUGUUUUUCUUAAUUAGGGUAGUGAUGAGUUGUCUUCACUAGGAGUUGGUAGGAGGCUGGGGGGACUGUCUAGAUCCAUUCAUGGGCAAAAAAUCGUUUGCUGAAAGAGAGUGGACACCAGCUGGUGGAUGAGAGUGGGACAAAGUACAAAUGCCAAAAUAGGGCCUUCCAUGAUCAGCAGUUGGACUCGUGGAAUAUCGUUAUCUCCAUCAUUAAAAAAAGCGAAAUUCGGACAUGACUUGUCUGCCCAAUGUCGAGUUCGGUUUGACAAUUUGGCUCCUUCCUUCCUACUCACAUUCAUGCAAAUGCCCGAGCCGCAAUCNNNNNNNNNNNNNNNNNNNNNNNNNNNNNNNNNNNNNNNNNNNNNNNNNNNNNNNNNNNNNNNNNNNNNNNNNNNNNNNNNNNNNNNNNNNNNNNNNNNNUGCAUUGCUGGCCCCUAGGUGAGGGACAAUAUAACAAGGGUUCUGCCCCUCACCCAUGGCUGGCGAGGGCUUAGGCAAUGGUCGCAACCCUUGCCAGCCACCGACAAGGGCCUGUAGGCCUUCACUCAAUGGCUGGUGAGGGUCGCUCAAAAUAAGAGAAAAAAAUAAAAGAAAAAUAAUUUUGAAUUCAAAAAUUUUAAAAAAAUUAAGUAAUUGCAAAAUUAUCCACUUCAAUGCUGAUGGUACCACAUACAAUGACCAACGUUUAUAUCAGCAAUUUUCUAGCUAAAAUCGAUCGAAUGGACUAUAUUGGUAAAUUAUCAAAAGAAUUGAGACUAAAUUGACUAAAUUAAAAUAUUAUGACUAAAUUGAUACAAGUACAAUAAAUUUAGAAUUUUCUGACAUUAUUCCAUUGUGGUUGAACUAGAACCAGAGGACAAACUUUUGUGUUUGUUUUUCCAAUUGCUUGACUGUCAUAUUUGCCUAGGUCGAUUCAGCGUAGACAAUGUGCAACUGAUUAUGUUAUUAUGUAUAACUAUAUUAUCAAUAAUAAAACUUAAUAUCAAUUAACAAUGUAAUUUCAUCAUUACAUACGAGAUUGCAAACUUCAUAUGAUUAUAACUAAUAGCAGUUUAGGUAGUUGAUAAUUAUGUUGGUUAAUAUAGUGCGAAAGAAGUAUUUUUGCAUAUGGAAUUGGAGGCGAUCAUAUUUAAUAAUCAUUUAAGUCACUAAAAGAAGUAUAACAAAUGUAUUACGAAAAUAAUGAUGUUUAGCAUUAUAAAGAAAAACAUAUUCAAGUGGAUAUUAAACGUUAUCAUAUCGUUAUAUAUUAUUAUUAACAAUUAUCCGAUAUGCUAUUAGGAUAAUACUUACCACAGUUGUAUAACAUGGAAUGGUAUCGAGCUCAUAAUUCUACUAUUGCGUCAUUAAUACUAUUAUAGUAUGUAAAAUGAAUAUUAUCUAACGUCAGUAGAGUAUAGAGUGAGAGAGAGAGAAAGAAACGGUAUUUGACUAUUUGGGAAUAACAAUAACGGUUUUGCUUGUGUAGCAGUUACAUAAGGGUCAUUUAAUAAUUAUUACAGCUGAAUUGUGCCUUGGUAGGAGCUUAUGAUAAAUUACCGUUAUAAUCAUCAUCAUUAUAGAUUAAGUCUAGUGGUUUUCUAGAUUUUUAUUUAUUUAUUUAUGUUAAUAUCAUACAUCCGUCAAUUGGCUUAAACUUCUAUUUGGCUUAUAGGUGGCAUUUUAUUUUCUCUCUCAUAGGUGGCAUAUUUUUCUUUAAAUUUUAUUUAAAAUAGAUAAAAAAAAAUACAAAUUUUAUUUGAUAAAACAAAAUUGGAGAGAGAGAGAGAAUGGUAAGGGGUUGGUAGGGUAUCGAUGUUGCCCUUGUCUGAGGGGAGGAUGAGAGGGUGGCUGGCUCGCUAGCCUUAGGUGAGGGCCAGGCCAGCGAGGCUCAGGUGAGGGUCACUGAGCUAGGGAUUUAUUUUUGUUUUGGUCGUACUAGCCCGAGGAUGACAGGCCUUGCCUUAGCCUUAUGAGGGUCGUUGCCUGGGGCNNNNNNNNNNNNNNNNNNNNNNNNNNNNNNNNNNNNNNNNNNNNNNNNNNNNNNNNNNNNNNNNNNNNNNNNNNNNNNNNNNNNNNNNNNNNNNNNNNNNNNNNNNNNNNNNNNNNNNNNNNNNNNNNNNNNNNNNNNNNNNNNNNNNNNNNNNNNNNNNNNNNNNNNNNNNNNNNNNNNNNNNNNNNNNNNNNNNNNNNNNNNNNNNNNNNNNNNNNNNNNNNNNNNNNNNNNNNNNNNNNNNNNNNNNNNNNNNNNNNNNNNNNNNNNNNNNNNNNNNNNNNNNNNNNNNNNNNNNNNNNNNNNNNNNNNNNNNNNNNNNNNNNNNNNNNNNNNNNNNNNNNNNNNNNNNNNNNNNNNNNNNNNNNNNNNNNNNNNNNNNNNNNNNNNNNNNNNNNNNNNNNNNNNNNNNNNNNNNNNNNNNNNNNNNNNNNNNNNNNNNNNNNNNNNNNNNNNNNNNNNNNNNNNNNNNNNNNNNNNNNNNNNNNNNNNNNNNNNNNNNNNNNNNNNNNNNNNNNNNNNNNNNNNNNNNNNNNNNNNNNNNNNNNNNNNNNNNNNNNNNNNNNNNNNNNUUAGUCCUUCGAAAUAGAAAUAGAGUAGAAACAUGUUUGAUAAUUGUUUGUCUCAGGAAUAAAUUAAAACAGAAACAAGAAACAGAAAAAAGUUAUUCUUGUUUCCAUGAAAAACUCAAGAAACAAGUUUUCUUUCCCUUUUUUUUUUCCUUUUUUUUUCCUCUCUUCUUCCUAGUUGGUCACCGAAGGCUCGUCGGCCCCUCGAGCCUCACCAUGGCUGCGUGAGGCCCCCCUAAGCCUUGUUGUGGCCAAGGGAGGCCAAGCCAGGCCAACCCAAGUGACGUCGACCUAGCAAGGUCGACGUCGCCCAGCCUUGCAGUGGCGGGGUGAGGCUGAGGCUCGAGGGGACCUUGUCAAUGGCCAACAAGGCUCCCCUAAGGCCGGUGACCUUGCCACCCUCAUUUGGCUAGUCGCCGACCUCUAACCAUGGCCAAGACCAGCAACUGGCUGAGAGGAAGGAGAAGAAAAAAAAAAGAAAAAAAAUCAUAAAACUAUUAAUAUAUUAAAAGAAAUUCUAAGUCACAAAAAUAUUUGGGAUUGUACUAAAUUUAUUUUUGUUCUCAAAAUAGAAAUUUUUUACAAUUACCAAAUGCCGUAAAAUACUUGGAAACUAUUCCCAAGAAUAGAAAUAAAAAAAUGUUUCUAAAAAGAAAUCGUUCCUAAGAACAAAAUCGUUACUAUAUACACCCUUAAGUGUUAACGACGAGAAAAUUCAGCCAAAAUGCUAAUAUGGCAAUUUUUCAGAGAAGUAAGUACAAGACGACAUCGUUUUGCAUAUUGACAUAACUAGACAAAUGCAAAAAACGACGUCAUUUUGCUAUUGACAUGAUAAAUAAUUAAUAUAAAAAUUAAUUAAAUUUAUUUAAAACAUUUAAAUUAAAAAUUAAAAAUUUUAUACAAAAAGGAAGGGAGGAAGAAGGCAGUUGAAGGCUAAGCCUUGUCAAUGGGUGCGUUUGGGAACUACUUUUGGGGAAUGUCUUUAGAAAAAUGCAAAUACCUUUGACUUAAAGGUGUUUUCCAAAAUGCAACCGUGUUUGGUAAAUUGCACUUUGAAAGCUCUUUGUAAAGUAUGUCNNNNNNNNNNNNNNNNNNNNNNNNNNNNNNNNNNNNNNNNNNNNNNNNNNNNNNNNNNNNNNNNNNNNNNNNNNNNNNNNNNNNNNNNNNNNNNNNNNNNNNNNNNNNNNNNNNNNNNNNNNNNNNNNNNNNNNNNNNNNNNNNNNNNNNNNNNNNNNNNNNNNNNNNNNNNNNNNNNNNNNNNNNNNNNNNNNNNNNNNNNNNNNNNNNNNNNNNNNNNNNNNNNNNNNNNNNNNNNNNNNNNNNNNNNNNNNNNNNNNNNNNNNNNNNNNNNNNNNNNNNNNNNNNCUUUUUUUUUUGGUAAGGACAUAGGCCUCUUCUUUUGAUUCCUAUGUAAAUGGAAUAAAUGCAUUAAAAGUCUUGAAAAUUGUCACAAAAGUAUAAUUGUGUCCUAAAAUUUAUAAAAAGUGCAAUUAUAUCUUAAAAGUUGUUAAAUUCGUGCAAUUAAGUCUUUUCGUUAAUUCUAUCCAAUUUGGUUAAUGGAAACUGUGAUGUACUCUUUUUCUUUUUCUUUUUUAAUCCUAUGUGGCAAUGAAGUGCCUAAAACAUGAAACAUAAGACUAAAAUGAUAUUGUUUUGUCCAAAUCUAAUUUUUAAUACUAAUUUUACUUAAAUUAGCAAAAAAAAAAAAAAAACAGUUAAAUUUAGGCGGGCAAAAGGAUAUCUACGGCAAAAUUGUAGACCUCACCGUCAUUGCCCAGCAACCAUCACCAGAAGGGUUGGUGACCCUUGCCAAUCGCAAGCAAGGCCUUAUAGGUCCUUACCAGCCCUCCCUAAAGGCAAGAGUUGUUGGCCACUAGCUAAGGCCCGAUGCCCCUAGUGGACAUCUCCCGGUCUCACCUGGUUUCUCACAGGCCUCUUUUUUCUUUAAAUUUUUUAUGCUUGAGAUAAGUACACUAGUCUAAACAUGUCAUAAACUUGUAAAAUAAGUGCAAUCAAGUCAUUCCAUUAAUACUAUCAAUUUGGCUUACAAGAAAUGAUGAUCUGACAUUUUAUUUUCUCUCUCAUAUGUGGUAUUUUUUUAAAAAAAUUUCAUUUAAAAUAGAUUAAAGAUUAAAAAAUGCAAAUUUUAUUUGAAAAAUAAAAAUGGAGAGAGAGAGAGAGAGAGAGAGAGAGUGGUAGGGGGUUUGUUGGGUAUCGCUGUUGCCCACUGCCAGAGGAGAAGAAGAGAGCGUGGCUGGCUCGCUAGCCUUAGAUGAGGGUCGACGAGGUUCAGGUGAGGGUCACUGAGCCCAAGUGGUGGCUAGUGAGGCUCGCCCAACUGGGGUUGACAAGGCCUCACCUAGCCUUAUGAGGGUUGCUGCCUAAGGUCCGCGUUGCCCAAAUCUAGGCUAUGGGGAAGGUAAACUUGGGCGAGCCUCACCGGCCCUCACCUAGGGCUCACAAGCUAAUCACCCUUACCCAAGGCCAGCGGAGUCGCCAUCCCCUUCAAUGAGGGCUUCUAGUGCACAUAUUAUUAUUUUUUAAUUAAUUUAAAUAAAAUUUGAAUAAAAAAAUAGAUUUAGACCACAAUGACGUCAUUUUAGUCACGUCAUCACCAUGUAGUAUAAAGAAAAUAAUUAAAAGAAACCAUAUCAAUAUUUUUUCGUCAACUAAGUUUUACGAAGUUAAUAGAAAAAUUUGAUUGCAUCAAUUUAAUAUAAAUUUUAUUACUUAGUUGCACAUAAGUAGUUUUAGGCCUUUCACUUUAGCAUCUUCGAAUAGUAAUAAUAAAAUGGGCAUUUAGUGGAUGGGUGCAAACAAUAAUCAUUGGACGCGGAAAUAUAUAUGGAUGCUGCAAGUUUUGACCACUCCCUCGGUGUCGUGUGAAGGCCUCACUUCCUCGGUGCUGUCCUUUUCUUAACAUCUCUCUCUCUCUCUCUUUCUCUCUCUCCCCUCUGCAUCCCUUCUCCUCUAUAUAUAGCCACCAUUCCCUCAUUCCUCCUUGCAUUACUCAAUGUAUUCUUCUCUUUGCAACUCUUAACGCACGACUCUCUCUCUCUCUUUCUCUCUGUCGUUCCUUCUCAGUUUCCCAUAUCCAGCUCUCUCUCCUUCCCUCGCUCUCUCGGCUUCUUUCUCUCUCAGCAACACAANNNNNNNNNNNNNNNNNNNNNNNNNNNNNNNNNNNNNNNNNNNNNNNNNNNNNNNNNNNNNNNNNNNNNNNNNNNNNNNNNNNNNNNNNNNNNNNNNNNNNNNNNNNNNNNNNNNNNNNNNNNNNNNNNGCUUCGGUUUAAUCUCGAAAAUGGGUGUGAACUCUGCCGUGAAGAACCAGCACCCCAACAACCAGGUCUUCGAUGUCUCCAUUAAUAUCCCGCCGCAAGGUGGCUCCAAAUGCUUCGACGACGACGGUCGUCUCAAACGUCUCAAACGCACAGGUCCCUGUCUUUUUUCUUCGUUUUUGUUUUCAAGAAACGAUUUCUGAGAUGUAGAUUACCACGACUUCUCACGACUCAUUAGGAAAGACGAGGACGAACACCCACAGGGAAUCGCCCGUCUAGGAAAGACGAGGACGAACACCCACAGGGAAUCGCCCGUCUUUUAGGAACGUUGCUGUCGCGUCAAUGCCGUCACAAAACCAGGGAAAAGAAACACAAACAUUAAGAAACUCUUCAAGGAAAGCAGACAAAUUCUUUGCUUUUUUUUUUUUUUUAAUGAAACACCAUCAAUGAAAUUUCGCAUCGACGCGUGUUGUGAAUUUAUAAACGUGGGUGAAUUUACAACCUUCUCUUUUCCUUUUUAAGAGACUACUGAUAAAAGAGAAUUUAUAAUUUUUUAGUGACGAUGUUACUUAUGGUGGCUCGUGCGUGAACGAAUGCAGGGACGGUAUGGACAGCGAGCUCUCACAUAAUCACGGCAGUGAUUGGCUCCGGAGUCCUGUCCCUGGCUUGGGCCACUGCGCAGCUCGGCUGGAUUGCUGGUCCCGCUGUCAUGCUCCUGUUCGCCUUGGUCACUUACUACACCUCCACCCUCCUCGCUGCCUGUUACCGCUCCGGCGACGGCAAGCGCAACUACACCUACAUGGAUGCUGUCAGCGCCAAUCUCGGUAUGUCACAUUUGUAUUUGUGUUCACGUUCAUAUUCCAAUGCUAAUGUCUGAGUCAUGUCCAAUCAUGUUGUGUUUGAUGCUAACCUCUCCUCUUUUGAUUAAAUUCUCCAGGUGGGUUCAAAGUCAAGCUCUGUGGGCUGGUUCAAUACGUGAACCUCUUUGGGGUUGCCAUCGGUUACACCAUUGCAUCUUCCAUUAGCAUGAUGUGCGUAAAUUUUCAGUGAAAAUUCUUGUGAUUGUUUUGCCAGUGUCGAAAGUUAUGCGAGUUCGAUUGAUUUUGUUGGCUUCUAUGGUCACUGCAGGGCUAUCAGUAGGUCGAAUUGCUUCCACAAGAACGGUGAGAAGAGCCCGUGCCAUUUCAACAGCACUCCUUACAUGAUUGCAUUCGGCAUCAUUGAGAUCAUCUUCUCUCAAAUCCCCGAUUUCGAUCAGCUGUGGUGGCUGUCCAUCGUUGCCGCUGUCAUGUCCUUCACCUACUCCACCAUUGGACUCGGCCUUGGUAUUGCCAGAGUUGCAGGUACAAGAAAUUUUUUCUUGCUAAGCUGCUCCAGUCAUCUUUCUAAACCAUCCCUUUGGGGACAGAACCCGGUAGAAGUAUGAGUUCUGAUUUAGUAUUCUGUUCUGAAUUGUCUCCUCUUCAGAGACGGGGAAUUUCAUGGGAAGUCUCACUGGAAUUAGCAUCGGCACCGUGACCUCCACACAGAAACUAUGGAGGAGCUUCCAGGCUCUUGGUGACAUUGCCUUUGCCUAUUCAUACUCCCUUAUCCUCAUCGAAAUUCAGGUGAAUAAUUUAAUUUCCUCUCAAAUGCAUGACACAAGAAAGUACUAGUGAUGGUUAAAUAUUGUAAUGAAAUUGAAGUCACUUGACACGAUAAGUUUGUAUAUGUUUCAGGACACCAUCCGGUCCCCGCCAUCCGAAUCAAAGACGAUGAAGAAGGCGAGUCUAGUCAGCAUAGCAGUCACGACCCUUUUUUACAUGCUCUGCGGAUGCAUGGGCUAUGCUGCCUUCGGUGACAUGGCGCCUGGAAACCUCCUCACUGGGUUCGGCUUCUACAACCCAUACUGGAUGGUCGACAUUGCCAACGCUGCAAUCGUGAUCCACCUCAUCGGUACGUACCAAGUCUAUUGCCAACCCCUAUUCGCCUUCGUCGAGAAGGCCGCGAUCAAGAAAUUCCCCAACAGCCAGUUCAUCACGAGGGAUAUCGAAAUCCCAACCCUUGGUCUCCGUACUUACAAGCUCAACCUCUUCCGGUUGGUCUGGAGGACCGUCUUUGUGAUCAUGACCACCGUGAUCUCCAUGCUCCUUCCAUUCUUCAAUGACAUUGUUGGGCUGCUCGGAGCGCUGGGUUUUUGGCCCCUCACGGUCUAUUUCCCGGUCGAGAUGUACAUUAAGCAGAAGCAAAUACCCAAGUGGAGCACCAAGUGGGUGUGCCUUCAGAUUCUGAGCAUGGCUUGCCUAAUCAUCACCAUUGCUGCUGCUGCUGGUUCUGUCGCCGGUGUUGUUCUCGACCUCAAGUCCUAUAAGCCCUUCAACUAGUUAAAGAUUAUUUGGGCGCUCAUGUUCAUAACAAGGUUAAUCAUGGUGGUGGAAUUUGCUUUGUGAGAAAUUCUAGGCUUAGGUUUCAUUUUCACUGUGUAAUGUGUUUAGGGAACGGG
Molecule: long non-coding RNA, 77850 nt
Filed under: Eucalyptus grandis
Lineage: Eukaryota; Viridiplantae; Streptophyta; Magnoliopsida; Myrtales; Myrtaceae
Description: long non-coding RNA (EGRA_LNC003859)
Rfam family: MIR1846 microRNA precursor family (bases 32395-32464)
Source: RNAcentral